Molecule: long non-coding RNA, 64679 nt
Filed under: Populus trichocarpa (black cottonwood)
Lineage: Eukaryota; Viridiplantae; Streptophyta; Magnoliopsida; Malpighiales; Salicaceae
Description: long non-coding RNA (PTRI_LNC003132)
Source: RNAcentral
CUGGAUUUGUGGUAGGAAAUCUUCAAUCCUGGCGAAAUUCAUGCUUUCAUCAUUGAUCCAAUCAAACUUCUCAGAGAAAGGGUUGUCUAUGGUUUUUGGAGGGUAUUGAUCUAUGCAGUCUUGCCAGACAUUUGUGUCCUCCAAGUCCUUCAUAACUUUCCACACACAAUUGUUGCACUUAAAACCUGCCCCAAGGCUGAUCAUUAGUAUUUUAUCACCCUUCUUGAGCCUUUUCUUGGCCUCCAUGUAACCUAAAACAUACCACAGGCCGCCGGAUGAUGUAUUUCCAAACCGAUAAAGUGCCAUUCUAGCUGGUUCGAGAUCAUAAUCGUUGAGUGCUAAACUCUUACCAACCUCAUCAAUAAUUGCCCGCCCACCAGGGUGCACACAAAAGUGGUCGAUUCCAGACCUGAGAUCCAAACCAGGUCCUGCAGCCUUAGAAGUUGGUCUCUUCAUUAUUUUGUUUCGAUAGUAACUUAUUUUGUAGCGGAGCAAUUCUGACAGUGGUAAAACUUUAGGAAGAAGAACUCGGAGAUUCAUGGUUAAAGCUUUAGCACCAGCUUUAGGUAGAUCUCUGGUGAGCCGAAAGCCUUUGUGGCCAAGGUCAUCUUCUACUUGGAUGCAGCUGCUGUAUGCUUCAUCAUUAGAGCCGAUAUGUGUGCGUACAGAACAAGUCAAUUCCAAGAGGGCUUUAUGCUUCAAAGCUCUAUUAUUUGUUAAGAGCAUGGAGCAGCCCCCGGUACGAAAAAGAAUGUUGGAGAGCAUCAUGGACUUGUCUUUGCCAGAAUACCAAUUUGGACCCAUGGAUUCUGUGCUCACGACGAUUGCAAGUGAAUUCUUAUAUGUCUUGAACAAUUGCUUAACCAAAUCAACGGCUACUACACUUGCACUGCAACCCAUUCCAGAGAGAUUAAAUGCUUUGAUGUCCUCCCUCAUCUUGUAAUGGUUUAUUACUCGAGCUGUUAGUGAGGGAACUGGUGAGAACAAAGAGACUGAAGAGACAAUAAUGUCGAUUUCUGAUGGAGAAACUCCUGUCUUAGCAAAGAGCUUAUCAAGGGUAUGAAAAAUGAUACCAUCCAUCUCCGAAACAGCAUCCAUAUGAGUUGCAGAUUCCUCUCUUCCCUCUAUGAUAUUUUUUGGGCAAUAAGUUUGUUCACCGAUGCCAGAACUAACCAUAGUUCUUAAAAGAAACCUGUAUUCUUCUAUUCCCAGAUUCUUGUUUCGGGUAACAAUUUUAGCACAGGAUCCAGUAUCGAGCUUUUGGUCCUCAGUGGCUUUAUGGCACUGAUAGCUUAGCAUAUAGCAACAGUGGUCUUUCUUUUGGUAUCCCAACUUAAAAAGGUUGAAGAUAAUAUACCACAAUAAUAGUGGAAGCAUUGCCAAGAACAACUCCAUAACAAGAAAAGAUAGGCUACAGAUUGGGUUUCAAGAGACACAGAGACUUUUAUGAGGGAGUUUAUGAUCAGCACUACAACUAUGGUCGUACUCUUAUACUAGAGAACGGGUUACAUGCGCGGCAUGUGCACAUGCAAGCAUUAGAUAAUGUUUCCUCAAAAAAAUUGAUUACACAGUAUAACGUUGGCCAAAGUCCUUGUCAGAAAUUUCAAAAUAGGUGGGGGCAGUAUAUUAAAAAAAAAAAAAAAACCUAAAAGGCCUCAUACUUGUGGAGGAGAAUUAAUGUGGAUUCAAAAACUAUAAUGUUUAUUUUCCCUUUAUUGCACUCAAUAUUUGCGUCGGUAGCAAAGGUAAAGUUGUUUUUUAUAUAAAUAUCAUUUGUAAAUUGAUUUUGGGUAAUUUUAUCAUUUACCUUUAAAAAUAUACAGUCAAAAUACUCCUUUUCCAUGAAGAGUUAAAAAAUUUGGCCUUUCGUUCAAGGUUUUCUGUAUCUUUUCUUAUUUAUUUAUAUAAUAAAAUUACAUUGGUACCCUUUGAAGUUCACAAAAAUUGAUCUUGCUGGAAGUUUUUUUUUGUCUUUGUCGCACGUGUGCGGCAUUACAGCGAUCGUCCAAUACUCUCAGGUAAAAUGAAUGUGGUCUCUAAUCAGUGGAAAUUUUGAAUGGGAGUUACCACCUAAUAUUCUGGUCACUAGAAACCCUAACUGGUUUCAGAGAUCGGGUACGGAGACUGGUUGCGUAAAGGGAAGAUAUUAGCACCCAAAAUACGUCCUACCUAAGGUAAGCUGCAUUGUUUUAAUGUCUGAUAAAAAACUAUGGUCUUAUUGCAUUUUCUAAUUGUUGGUUUGUCUAUAGUUCAAGAAAAGUUCUCCUUAAUAAGGAGGUUCUUAUCUUAAUGGGGUAAAAACCUAACCGUUAUAGCGUUCGAAAAAAAAAAUUUAAUAUCCAGAAUACGUAUUACGUGUAAUGUCGUACCCCGGAUACUAAAAGACAAACAAAAUAAAAUUUUUGUUGUUUUUGAAAUUUUAGCCAAUGUUCUCUUAACUUUAAUAAACUAGUUAUUAAAGCCAAAAUGCAUGCUAAAAUAUUUUUUAUAGUAUAUGAAAAACACAAUAUGAUUUUUUAGCUUUGAGACACUUGGUCGUAUGCACAAAAAUAUUUUUUUCUUUUUUCAAUUUUUUUUGUAUUUUUGGACGUUUUGACGAAAACCGGAUAUUUUAAUACCGGAUUCGUAUUUUUUUCGAAAUAAAAUAGAUACCGAUAUUAAGCAAAAAAACAUAUAGCAAAAGAUGAAAAAGUCAUAAAAUUUUAAAAAUAAAAAUAAAAAUUUUUCUUUCUUGAACUGGACCGGAUCCGGCCCAGUUCUGUGGGCUGGGCCGAACCCGGCCCAAAUGCAUGGGUUGGGCUCAACCCAACGAAGAAAGAAAAAUGAAUAGUGGAUCACCCUCCACUUUUCACAUGCAGCAUGAACAUCAGAGGGUGACCGGAGAAGAAACGUAACGGUGGGUGUAACUAACCGGACGUCGACCAGUUGCUCGCGGUGCUGACGGUGGGGGUGCUGUCAUUGCGGUAGGGGACUGUGGUGGCCUGCGGUGCUUCUCUUUCUUCUUCCUCUCCCUCCUCUGUUUUUCCUUUCCUUUUCUCCUCCUAUUUUCUCUCUUUUCUGCUUUUCGUUCUCCCCCUCUUUCUUCUCCUCUCUCCUUUUCUCUUCUCUCCUUUGUUGUGUUCUCCCCCUGCUCUUGUGCUCCCCUGUUUAUAUAGGCAAAAAACAGGGGAGAAAGAGGACGGGGUGGCCACUAUGCUGCCACCCCUCCAACACGUGGAAAGUUUUGGGCAAGUAGGGGUCCUUGGUCGGCGUCUUUUUGAUGCUUUAGAGGAAGAGAAGUCAGUGAAAACAAAGGAAGAAAAAAAUAUUUUUCCCCUGUUUCGCGUGUCCAGGGGAAGAAGAAGACCCACAGUGCCGUUCAAAAUGGCACCGUUUCGGGCUUUUUUUUUUUUUUAUAUGAACAGUGUAUGAAAUGACGUUGUUUUGGACAAAACACGCCAUUUCGGACAAAACACGCCGUUUCAUUUAAAAGGAAAAGGCGGCAAAAACGUGUCAGAGUUCACAUUGGUCCUCAAUUUGUAAUUUGUUCAAUCAAGUCCUCAAUUUCAAUUUUGAUUACAAAAUCAAUGCAAUUGCAUCCCUGCCAAAAAUCAAACAGCGGCCCUGAAGUUGGCCGUCUUUUUCACUUUGGUCCUUGGUCUUGAAUUUAUACAAUUUGACCCUUAAUUGAUCAAUAAACUUCUAAUUUAUUCAAUUUGGCAUUUGAUUCGGUUUAAUUGCAGCCCCUCUAUUUACGCAUGUUUUUUAUUUUGGUCAUUGGUUUCAGAUUUCUUCAAAUAAGUCCCUAAUUUGCUAUCAAACUUCAAUAUUUAUGCAAUUAAGCCCCUGAUUUGAUCAAAUUAAGUCUCAAAAAUUAUAAUUUGACUCUAAAACUUUAAUUUCUUCCCAUUAAAGCCUAAAUUGACUUCAAAAUCAAUUUUUCUUGCAAUCAAACCUUCCAUAAAUUCAAUUAAACCUUCAAUAAAAUUUAAUUGAGUCCAUAAACAUCUGAUUUUGGACUUUUAUUCCUCAAAUUGAAUUUUCUUUGUCAACAGGGCUCUCAUCAGUCCACAAAAUACUAUCAAAUUUUAAUCUUUGUAAUUUUGAACCUCCUUAACCAAUUUUUAAUCAUUUUUAAGGCGCUUUGACAUCCUCUUUUCACUGUUAUAUUUUUUUAUAAUAUUUUUUGAUUUUUUUGUAUCUUUUGAAGAGAGAAAAAAUAUGAAUUGGGGAAUAACCCAAAAAUGGGUUAUGAUAGUCUUUACACCUUUUUAGCAUCGCUAAUUUACACAUUUAAACUUUAACUUAGAAAAAACUAAGGCUGCCUUUGGAAGAUGUUUUCGUCUUUGUUGCAUGGUUUUUUUUUUGUAAUAUUGAUAUGCUCUUAGAGUUAUUUUAGUAAUUUAUAUUAUUAAAAUAUUAAUAAAUCUAUAAAAUAGGCUUACACGUGCCAUGCACGCGUCGACGCGUCAUCAUCUCUCAUGCCAUUCUGAAGGCGUGGGGACAAUUUUGUUGGCCACAAAUGCCAAUUGCCAUCUUAUCCGACAUGCAAGGUGGCAACGCAGAUGUUGAGGUGGUGCGUUUGGUCAAGAAAGGCGGCGGUUCAGUGACUUUUGGUUUUUUUCUUCCUCCCCUUAUUUUCUCUCUCGCAGGCCUAGAUAUUCAUACCGUGCUUUGAAAAUUUAGUGGUGUCUUCCACUUCGUAUUUGUUUUGAGUUUGGUCCUCAUUUCUUUUUAUUUCUAUUUGUUUGGAGUUUAAUGCUUCUUGAAGUGUUUUUUUUAAUUUCACCCCUCAAUAUUUAAUUUUAUUUAAUUUUUGUAUUCAAUCUGAUCCUUAUUCUUUUGAUUGAUUAUUUUUAUCCUUUGCAAUUAUUAUUUUUUUUUCCUUUAGAAUUUUAUUUCAUUUUUUAUUGCUCUUUUUUUAUCCUUCAUUUAUUUUGUUUUUAAGUUUAAUCACUAAUUAGUUUCUUUCAAUUAUUUUUUGUAAAAGAUUUAGUCCUCAUUGUUUUAAUUUUUGAAUUUUUAAUUUUGUAUGAAUGAGAAUUUUUCUUUAUAAUUCUUUCCCUUUCCAAAAAAUUAUUGACCCAAGUAUGGAUAAUGUGUUUUCUAAUAAAAAUGAUUUUAAACAUAAACUUAAAAUAUAUAUAUAUAUUUGUUUUAAAUAUUGAUAUGAUGACAUAUUGAGACUGCGACAUAUUAGAUUAACUCGAGUUAACAUGUCAAAUCUAUAACCCGAGUCAUGAGACUAUAACAACCCUAUAAAAAGAAAAUCAAAAUAAAUUAUGAACACCAAUUCCUAUUGAAUCCACUAUAACAAAAUAAAUUGAAUAAAAAAAUAAAAAAGAAUAAAAAAACUACUCGAGUCAACUUACCAAACCUGCAACCUAGGUCAUAAGAUCAAGAUAACAAAAAAAUUAUGAAUCUCAAUUUUCAACAAACUCAAAGAAUGAAAUCGAAAAAAAAUCAAUUAAAAAAAGAACAAAAAACACCUAAGUCAACCAAGACUAAUCUGUAAAACCUGUGACCUAUGUCAUAAGACCGAGAUAAGUUUAUACGAAGCAAAUAAAAAAAAAAUAUAAAGCUCCAUUUAUAACAGAUCCAAUGUUGAAUGUUGAAAUCAUGAAAAAUAAAAUAAAUCCAUGAGACCAAGAUAACUUCACAGAAAGCAAAUUGAAAUUGAAAAUAAAAAUACGAAGAUCAAUUCCCAAACAACCUAAUAUUGAAAGAUUUUAUUGAGAAAAACUAAAUAAAAAAGAAAAAGAUUGAGUUAUUGGAGUGUGAAAUUGAAAAAAAAUAUAUAUUUAAUUAAAAAAUAAUUUCAAAAAAUAAACAAAAUUAACAUGAACUAACCUAUAAUCCAAAUCAUAAGAUCAAAUAAAUCCAUGGUACUGCGGUAGCUAUUGUGGUUGUAGUUUGAAAAAAGUUGUUUUAUAAAAAGUACUUUUAGUUGAGGUUGGUUUGAAAAAAUAUAUGUUUGGUUAAAACUGUGGUUGAAAUUGAGGUUGAAUAAAAAGUAGUUUAAUGUGUUUAGUUAAAAGAAUACUUUUCAAAUUGAGGUUAUAAAAUAAUUAAAUAUAUAUAUAUAUAUAUAUAUAUAUAUAUAUAUAUAUUAAUAUUGAUGGUUUUUAAUUUAAAUAUUUUAGAUUUAAUUACUGCUAUUAUAUCAUGAAAUAAAUAAUAUUGAUAUCAAAUAUUUUUUAUUGUUCCAUUAAACUAUGUGCAAUUUCAUAACGUACGAAAUCUAUCCAACAAGGACUAUAUUUUCCAUGGUUUUUUAAGCGUGCAACAACAUCAGGUAAAAUAUUAUCAAGAACAAAAUUGAGGUUGCGAUCAAAUUCUGAAAAUGCUACGUCAUCAAGCGAUCUCCUUCUAAUUUUUUAAAUAAAACACGAUUAAAAAUAAAAAUAAAAAUUGAAUUUUUUUAACUGGGUCGGACCUGGCAAGAACAAAAUUGGGAUUGCGAUCAAAUUCUGCAAAUGCUACGUAAUCAAGCGAUCUUCUUCUAGUUUUUUUGAAUAAAACACAAUUAAAAAAAAUAAAAAUUAUUUUUUUAACUGGGUCGGACCUGGUUCAAUGCAUUUAGCUUUGGACCGGACCCGAACCGACCGGAACGGUGGCUGGAACAGUGGAGAGUGACUCAAUUGUUCCCGUGAACAGUGAAGUUUCACUCUCCAUUGUACAAAAACACACAGUAGUAUGAGAAGUAAGAAAAAAUUGCUUAAGCAAAACCCACGGUUAAAUCUCAUUUUUAAUGGGUCCCAUGAGCCAAAUCACAUGUGCUAAUUAUAACCAAACACUAUAUUAUUGAGUUUGAAAAAAAAAAAAAACAAUACCUGCCGUAGAGCCAAACACCUUCUACCACCAAAGCUAGCUAAGAAUAUUAAUUUCUAAUUUCUAAUUUCUUUUUAAUAUUCAUAAAUAUUAACAACUUAGUUUGCACCUGUAUUUUACCACCAUUACCCUCUAUAGGAUUCUCUCUCUCUUUUGUUUUUUUUGCCCUACAUAAGAAAGGAUGAACUGAGAUUUUUAAGGAUAGUUUUAAUUGAAGUUUUUCGUUAAGGUUUUUCGUAGUUGAUUGAACUUUCUUUGAUUUCUUUUCUUUUUUGCUUACAAACUAAGAAUUAGAGAGAAGACGAUUGUAGAACAGAGAAGAUGAGGGAGUUUUUUUUAGAUGCAUAAAACUUGAAAUUAGAGAUUUUUCUUUUUUAAUGUCAGAAAUUUAGUUUUCAUUUAUAUAAAAAUUAGCUUGAAGAUAAUUUAAAUUGAUGAACCAAAAUAAAAAGAAGAAUUAGUUGUCAAUUAAAAAAAAAUCCAUCGAUAAUUUUGUUUCAAAAUACAGUAAAUAGUGUAAAAAACUAAAAAUACCAAGAACAUUAAAUAAUAAAAAAGAUUGAUCAAAAUUCAAAUCAUCUCAAUGUGUCCACGUAUAAACAGAUUGAUCAAAAUCCGAAAAGAACAUGAAUCCCAAUCAAUCCUUUUUAGUCAACCUUAAGUAAAUAAGUGCUUCCUUAAUUUAUGCAAAAAAGAAAAAAAACACAGCACACCAGCUCGACUCCAUUCCAAUGGCUUCGUCUCCAACUCUCCCUCAAGAUUCAACCCCAGACCCAAAUACUCUCUCACAAAACCCUAACAACACAAACCCAGAUCAAAUUCAACAAACGUUACCUGAUGAUGAUGAUGAUGAUGAUACCCAAUUCCCCAAAACCCUAACCCUUGAAAUCCCGAACCCUAACUCACAAGAAGAUGACCCAACCAACCAAAACCAUGACGACUUCGAAGACCUCACCCUUUUCUCUCCCACCACAACCACCACCACCUACCGUCGUGCUGGGGGUGGACGGAAAAGCAGGAAGGCUAACCAAAAACGACGUGUACAGGUUAAAAAGUCUGAAAAAAAGCUUGAAACUUUAAGCCAAACCCUAAAUCCAAUCCCCUUUGUACCCAACAAAAUCCUCGACCUCGCUUCACAUGAAACCCUUUUAAAAAAAUUGGGUUUGUGGGAAUUUGUGCAUUUGCAAUUUGAUACUAAUAUUCGUGCUGAUUUGCUAGCACAAUUGAUUGCUGGUUAUAAUCCUGCGAUGCGGGGUAGUUAUGUUAAUGAGGUUAAGAUCAUGGUCAAUCGUGCUGAUUUAGGGCGUGCUUUGAAGUUACCGGUGAAGAAAGAGAAAGGUAGUGGAGGUGAUGGUGCAUCUGAGGUUACGGAGAGUGCGGAAUCAAUUGGGUUUAUAGAGGAGUUGGUGUCAAAUUGGAUUUUGUUACAUGAGGAUACUUGGAUGAUGCCGCCAGAUAUAUUGAACUGGAUUAAAUUGAUUAAAGAAGGGAACUUUGACAAAUUGGAUUGGGCUGGAAUGAUUUGGUAUAUGGUAGAGAAAGAGUUGAAUGCGGAACCUGGUUUAGGAAAUUGUUAUUAUGCGUCGCAUUUGCAGUGUUUGAUAAAGUGCCAGAGAGAGGAGUUGUUGAAGGAGGGAAGUCUUAAAAUGGAGAUUGAUGUUAAGGAUGAUGAAGAUGAUGAGGGUGCGAAGAUGGAGCAGAGUGUGAUGAUGGAAGAGGGUGCGGAGAUGGGUGAGGAGUUUAGGGGUGAAUCAUCUGUGUUAGAGGAGCAUAGAAUUGAGUUGAGUCUUGGAGGGAUGGAUAAUGCAGGGAAGGAAGAGGUGGAGAAUGUGGGUGAUGAGGAUGUGAUGGAUUUUGAGGAGAGGAAAGAGGAAGAAGAUCAGGGUCAGUGGGAAAAGCUCAGUAUGGAUGGGCAUUAUCUGCAGCCAUGUGGUAGUUUUAGUCAAGUUGCGGGAAUGGAAUUUGAGGAAGAGAGGAAACAGCAGGAUGAGGUGGAGGGAGAGGAAGAGGGGAAGGGAGGAGAGGAAGGGGAGGAGGGGGAGGAGGGGGAGGAGGAUGAAGAGGAGGGGGAGGACGACGAUGAUAUUGGUUUCCAUAUCGCAGCGAGAGGAAAUAUUUUGGAGGGCAUAAGCUCUGAGAAUCUUCUUGAGGUGAUGGGAGCAGCUCACGUUCCUUUUAGUUCAGGUGUCCAAAUUCAUGAUAAUGUAUCUUCCAGGGAAUUUCUCGUUUCUAGGGUUGAUACAGAGACAAUUCCAGGUGGUUCUUCAAUUUUUGGUAAUGUUGGUGGAAGCAAGAGGGUGAUUGAGCAUCUUCAGAGUGAUAUACCGCAUCACUCACUUAAUGGUGGUAAUAAGAGGAUGCGGAGUGAUGGGCAUUGGGAUGCAAAGCCGUAUUCGGACUUUGAUAGUUUUGAGGAGGAGAUGCAGCAUAUGAUGGGAAAAGCCAGAAUGAUGAUGGAGGAAAAGGAGCAGUCAUGUCAGGAAAUGAGUAUGCAUCAACAGGUGUUGUAUAAUGAGUUGCAGCAGCGUGAAAACUUCAUUCAGCAGUUGCAGAAGACCAAGAUGGAAGAGCAGCGGAAGAGCCAGUUGGAGGUUUAUAGGCUUGAACGUGAACUGUAUAUGAUGGGAAAUCUUUUAGAGGGCUAUAGAAAGGCGUUGAAGGAGACACACAAGGCAUUUUCUGAAUACAGAGCAAGAUGCCAACUACCUGAAGAACCGAUUUAUAAGGAUACUGGGUCUGGUGGUCUUGUUUUGAGCACCAUGGAGUUGGAGAAGCAGCGCUUGAAGCAAGAGGAAGAAGAAAGGCUAAACCGUGUAUUUCUCGAGAAGUUGGUUAAGGAAUUUGAAGCAGAGUGCAUUCCUAAAUUUGAAGGAUAUGAGAAUACUGUUAAGUUGCUGAGUGACAAGUUACUGGUUGUUGGGGAAAAAUUCAAUCUCUUGAAGGAAAUGUCUGGAAAGCGAAAGGUGUCAGAGAUGUCAGAAUGUGUUGCCACUGAGGACUGCAAUACAGCUAAAGAAUCUGUUCCAACUGAAGAAUGUGUUUCAGCUGAAGAAUCAGCUGUAGUACAGGCUCCUGCCGAAGAAUCUGUUCCAGUUGUAGCACAGGCUCCUGCUCCUGCCGAAGAAUCUGUUCCAGUUGUAGCACAGGCUCCUGCUCCUGCCGAAGAAUCUGUUCCAGUUGUAGCACAGGCUCCUGCUCCUGCCGAAGAAUCUGUUCCAGUUGUAGCACAGGCUUCUGCCGAAGAAUCUGUUCCAGUUGUAGAACGUGCUCCUGCUGAAGAAUGUGAUCCAAUGGAAGAAUGUGUUCCAACAGAAGGAUGAAUUGCUCUCAAGUCUGUUUUGACUUUGAAGAUGUAGGUAAAGGAGAGCUCUUUUACGUAAGCUGAUACAGCUUUUGACAUAUCGUAGUCAAAUAUAUGUUCUGAAAGUUUUGUAUUAAGUACCUUUUAGAAUUGAAGCUUCAUGUCACAUAGUUUGCUUACAUUUUCUUUUUAACUUUAAAUGUGGUAUGCGUUUGAGCAAUGCUAUGUACUGAUACCACAACUAUUUCCACUCAUCUGAUUUAUCAAUAAUAUGUUAAUUUCAUUGUCUGGUGAGACUAUUAACUGAGAAAAAAACAUACAACUAGAUAACACUUUGGCACACAAUAGGCAAUCUGAUAUAGAAAAAUGGUUUAUUUUGGAUAAUUUUCCCCUCCAAAACUUGUCACUUUUGGUCUAUUUUCCCUUUCUGCUUCACCAUCUUGUUGUUCAUCAUUAUCUCGACCUGUGUUUUUGGGCCUUUUCUUCAGUUAUUUGGUUUUGUUAUCCAUACGGUCGUUGUGAUCUUUGUAUGAAUAGUUUCUGUGAGAACAUUGCUUUUGGGGUUAGAGCUUAGAAAUAUUGUAAAAAAUAUAAUUGCUGUAAGUCGUGAAGCUUUUCAAUUAUCCUUAUUGAUUGUUGUAAGAGGAAAUUAGCUUUAGCUAAUUUCGAAACUAAUUUCUUAUAUAUUUUAUCUUGUAUUCCUUGAAAUCUUUUUUCUUCACUGGCUUCUUAUAUCUUCUCUGAGAGGGUUACAAGUGAUCUUGAAACUCUCCUCUACUUCUAUAUAUGCCAUGAAGUAAAUCCUCUACUGCACACUGUUGCUGUUCUGCCAUCUGCAGAUCUCUGUUUUGGUAAUAUUUCUGUGUCAUCCAGCAUAAUUGUGAGCAUGUUUACCUUGAGCGAUGGUUGUGGUCGGGCAUCACCACAGUUAGCAAAUGAGCAAUGGUUCAUGCAAGUGAAGAAGUUUGGAAAUGAACGACAGAAUGCAGCUUGUAUUUUUGCUAUAGACAAUGCUGUUGGAAAAGUUUAGAGAACUCUAGUACUGGAGUUAGGAAUUGUUUUUCCUAGAGAAUGUUCUGGAUAACAAUUGAAAUUUGCUGACGAGAGUUUUAGGACACCCAAGUAUGCUAGAAGCCCCUUGGUCGCUGCCUAGUAGAUGGUCUCUACUGAUGUUUGCAACAUCCUGAAGGUAGGACUACCUGCGUCUUGUAGAUGUUAGAUAUGUUGGUCCAGGAGUAAUAUGAGUGUGAAUGAUUUACAGAAUCCGUCUUCAAGGCUACACUGAAGUUCUUACCAUAUGACUUGUCAUAUAUCCACAUUCCAUUUCACGCCACUUCUGGUUUGAUGGUAGAGCAAGUUUAUCUUCAAGGUGAGGUAUUGUUUGUUUGUCUAGCCAAAAUUUCUUACUAUCACAGGAUCCUACGCAAGUGGAACUGUGAUUAUUGUAUGAAUUUCUGCUAGAAAUAUCAAAGAGCUUGCCUUUUCUUUUGAAGCCCCAUUUGAUUACAUCCUUUAUAUUUAUGCAAGCCUUAAUCACACUGUAGCUUGGAGGUGUUAUAUGCAAGCCUUUAUAUUUUGAUUUCUUCUUCUGAUGUAGUCGAUAAUUUUCUUUUAUUGUUUCCAUACAAUAUAAUUUUCUUGUUUCUUUAUUUCAUUCACUUGCUUUCAAUUAAUAGUUAAAUUCUUUUAUUUCAUUUUUCAACAAUGCCAAUAAUGAUUCUUUAGAGUUCUACUCUAUACACCACCAGCAACUUUUUUCUUACCUUUCAUUUCAGCAAAAGUUUUGUGGCCAAUCGUUGUACAUAUACUGAGUUUUCCCAACCACAGAAAGAGUCAGGUCUCCGAAUGUUGGUGUAUGUCAAACCCGAGACAUUGGAUAGAGCUUGGUUAUUCACAGCCAUUCACAACAUUGAACAUUGCUGUAGAUCAGCAUAAUUGCCAUUAAUGUCUAAUAUUGGACUUGUUGUAUGGCUGAUUUAGCAGAAUCAUAAUCCAGAUUUCAGAGGCCCUAUAUGGAAGCAUGUUUUCACUUUUUCUUAUGUUCUUUGUGCUUCAUUGUCGGAGAUAUAAAGAGCAUAAAUGGUUCAGCUUGAGUUUGUGACCUAAAUAAAGAAUCCAAUAUUGAGGAUAUUAGUGAUCUAAAUAAAGAAGAUGCGCAAGAAGAUGAACUUGAACACAAUAACUUUAAAUGAGUUUGAUAAAGAGGUUAACAAAGAAUAUAAUGUGCGCUUUAGUUAUAGAGAAAGUUUUAAGAAACUUUUGAAUUGUCUAAAGAGAUAAAUGUGGUGUUGAAAGAGUCUUAUGAUAUUAGUCUUUGUUAAUUACCCUCCAUGUUUGAUGUCAAGUUAUCCCUUACCUUUUACACGUAAUGAGUGUUAUAAUCUAUUUUUAUCUUUAUUUUCCUAUGUGUUUUUAAAAUUAUAUUUUCAAUCAAAUUUAAUUUUUGGCAUUAAAAAAAAAGAAAUAAAAAAAAGUUUAUAGAGAGAAAUAAGAAGAAAGAGAGAACAAGGCUAAGAAGAGUAGGAACUAAAAAAUAAUAAGGGAAUGAUAUGCAUAAGAGGAAAAGAAAAAUAAAUUGGAGGAUAAAGCAAAAUAAAAAAGUAAAUGGAAAAAAUCUUGCACGUUAAGAAGAGAAAAUUUAAUUAAUUAAGAAUCCAUGGUCAAGAAAGAAAUAGUAUAAUUGCUUAACAAUAUAAAUAUGAGACAUUCAAACAAAGAGAAAAGACACCUGGAGAUAAAAAAAGAGACUUUUACAAACAAAAAUCUAAACUACACACAAGGAGAUAAAGGAUCAUAAAAACACAAAAAAACCUAGCUUCCUCAAGAUGUAGAAAGAUAGCCUCGAAAAUUCAACAACAUCAAUAGCCUUCUUUGUCUUCGAUCUCCCAUCUCUAAUCGAGGUGAUUAAUGUUAUCCGUACCAAAGGAAGGAGUUGUGCACACCACAGAUUCACGCGCCUCCCUCAUCUGAUGAUGGGCGAUACCUUAGCUCUUUGGAAUAUAUCGACAAACUUAAUCCGUUGAUGUAUCUGUUUGUAUUUUAUAGGUCUGUUGGAAUGUCUAUUGAUGCAAAACAUUUUAUGUUGCCAGAUUAUAUUUGUAUUCUUUAUGUAUCUAUCCAGUAAAUACUUAAAAUCAUAGCAUCACAUACAACACAAUAACACCAGUUCUAUGUAUAAUAAUAAAAUCACAUAAAAUAAAUAUUUCAUUGUGAUUUAAUAAUAAAUAAAUGUCAUUGUCAUUACAUUAAAGUUAAUUUUGUCCAAAAAUAUUACAUUAUAUUUUAUGGCAUUACAUAUUCGUGUUGUGAAAAUUAAUCAGAAUUGUCUUCUUCAAUUUCAUCAUCAUCAUAUCCAUCGUGAUCUUCUACAUUGAUUUCAUCGCUAUCAUUAUCUUCAUUGACUUGUGUAUGUCCACUGGUUCUCAAAACAUCAUUUAAUUCCUCAAUCUCAGCAUUAAAAAAAGUAUUCUUGGUGAUGCAAAAAUUUGAAUUUUCUUUUAAGUCAUUAGAUGGAGCAACUCGAUAUAGAUCAACUAACUCAUCAAGUUAAAAGACAUCAUCUUCUACAGUUAAUUCAUCGUUUCCAUCAUGAAAAACCUGGACACGACCCAUGGGAUUGGUUUUCACUAUGGAUAACCAAUCAACUCUUGAAUGAUCAUUUCUAAAGGAAGGAGUGUAUGUAAUAAACUUGCUAGUAUUGUUUGACAUGUCGGCAUUGCAGAGUCUAGCCUUUGCAUUAAUUACAACCAAACCAUGAUGUAUAUUUAAUCUGAUUUUUUUGUCAAUGGUAUCAUACUAAUAACAUUUGAAUAAAAAGACUCUAUUCUGUUUGCUAUGAUAUUGCAAUUCAAUGAUCUUUUCCAACUUUCCAUAUUAGUCAACUUCAAACUUAUUAAAAGUCCAUUCAUUAACAUAGACCCCACUGUUAUAUGUCUUUCUACCCUAACCAUACGCUUCAGUAUAAAACACAUGUCCAUUAAUGAAGUACUCGUUAUAGUACUUCACCUUUUUUUUAUGACCCAUACUUAAUAAAUUCAAAGAAACACUAGCAUUCCCUUCCAAUAAAUCUAGUACAUGAAUUACAUCUCCAUCACAAUUAAUGAGAAAUAUGUAAUUAAAUUAAGUAUCUUGAGAGAUAAGAAUAAUUAAACAGUCCUUACAUGUGUUCUAAACCACAUGAAAUUUUUUUCAUCUUGUAAUCAAAAUAUUUGGGAUUCAGUUAGCUAUGAGUUUUUGGAUAGUAAAAAUUGACGAUGUUGCCUAUGAGGAAUUCAAUAAUCUAUCAAUUUAUGAUAGUAUAAUAGAUAAAUUGUUUAAAAGUAACAACAUGUGGAAUAUUGUACUUGUUAAAUAGACCUUAGUUCAUCAUAAUUAAAUAGCAUAUAAUUAUGUGCUUGUUUGAAUUCUAUUUCUGUCAAAUAUUUUCUCCUUACAAUAUUUUUUGGUACGAGUCAUCCAAGAUGAGAGAAUAUUGAUAAUUUUCCACUCAAGGAACUUGCCCACUGUCAUCAUACCUUGGAACGCGGUUGAUUCUUGUUCUUAAGUGAGGCUUAAAUAGUACGAGAUAAAUUUUGAGAUCUCUUCAACGAUAUAAGCCUUGCAUAUCGAAACCUCAAUAUACGCCUUGUUUUUUACUUUUUUCUUAAGGUUGAAUAAGCACCUCUAUGGAAUUAAAUGAAUGUUUUUAAUUUAAAAAAAAUAUAGAAUUUUAAUUACGAUGGAUGUGUAAUCCAUAACCUCUCGAAUGGAUACAUCCAUCUAUAUUAGACUGGGCUUCCGACUCUUGCCUCAAAUCGUAGAUGUAGUGGUAAAUGCUACAUUAAGUCGAAGAAUAAUAGAGGGAAUGUCAUCUCAAGUUUGCAAAUUGUCUGGACGAUAUUCAUUUCAAGUCUUUCCAUGUGUUAUGUCUGUAACUUGUUAGAACAUAUAUCUCUAAAGAAGUGACUAAUCUCCGUGAGUGUAUCCAAUAUCCCUUUUGGCAAUAAAUCCUAGUAAGCUAACGGAAUGAGUGUUUGCAUAAAUACGUGGUAGACAUGACUCUUCAUUCCAUACAAUCUGCAAUCCUCUAAAUUUAGCAACCUUGAUAUGUUCGAAGCAUGUCCAUUAGGAAAAUAAAUAUUCUUAAGCCAUCAAGUUGAAAACCUUGAGUAUCACCAUCCAUCAAGAAUAAAGAGCAGCAAAAGACCUGAAUGGAUUAAAACUGUCUAUACAUAACCCAAGACACAUGUUCCUUAUCUCCACUGAAAACUGAGGAUGCACAAUGUUAAAGUGUUUGAAGGCUUUACUAUCGGAAGGUGACACCAUUACUCCAUCUACCUCAUUAUGUGAUUGGUGCUAUGUCAUGUGCUUAAUAGUCUUUGAUGACAUGAAUAACCUCUAUAAUUUAGGUGUGAUUCUAUGUGCGAUAAGAGUUCUUUCCUUGCUAGUUUUGGGUUUAUAAUGAGUAUGCCAACAUGUUAUGUACUCGGUCAACUUUGUAUUUUCAAGGUAGUACAACAUGUACAAGUUUGGACACAUGUACAAGUUUGGACACAUGUUAAUUUUCUAGUAUCCUAGGCCGAGGGGUUUCAUCAUGGAUUCAGCAACAUAAAAGUUCUCUUUUAGCCUAUUCCCUUUAGAUAAACUCUUUUCACCUAUUCAACAAUUUUCUGACUUGAUGCUGAACACUUGUGCAAUGACUGAUAAUUUAUUGUGAUUUGUGCACCCAUCGUGGCUGUGUCUACAUUAGAUUCUUCAUCAACAAUUAGACAUUGACCGACAUAACUCUGAUUCAUUCCCAUUACAUCUAUAAUAAUAUUCCUAUAAAGAUUACUAUUUUCAUCUAUAACUUCAUGCAUGUUGCUAGAACUAAAAGUUGACCCAGAUAUCCUUUCUACCAUGGUCUCGUGAGGAAUAUAUGGUUCUCUAUGUAUAAACCAACACAAGUAUCUAUCCACGAACCUUUUUUUGUAGAAGAUACAUUCUUUACAACAUUUGGUUCAAGGAUUUUUUUUUUACAUAUGAUUUUUAAGUCAUUUUUUGAGUUGUUUGAGGCCAUCAAUAGAUUUAUCAAGUUGUUUAUGAUCUCGAGGUUAAAAAACAAGAUGAAAAUAGUUUUUUUAGCAAAAAAACCAAAGCCCCGCUUUUCUAGAAACCUUUGGUGUUGGCUUCAAUAAACACUAGAAGAUGCAUCAUUAACUCAUUUUUUUUCAUAAUAGUCAUUCGCCCUUUAAAAAAUAUAAAAAAAAUAUAAAGCUAGGCUUAAGUGUGCGUGCUGGCUAAAAGGCCCACGUGUCUGAGCUCUUUUUGUAAGAAGGCCACCAUGCUCGUGCGACAACUUUUUUUUUGUUAUUUUAUUUUUGGGUGAAAAAAUUAAUAAGAAAAAUCAUUGAACCUAGUUGAGUCUAUGAGCUGAGUCAUAAGUUUGACGGGGUAAUCUGCAACAUCCCGACUAUUAUAUUUUUUUUCUUUUUUUUUGUUUGAUGAUUUUUUUUGUCCCUAAUUUUUUUUAAAAAAUCUAAUUUCAUCUUUUUUGUUAUUGAUGAUCUUUUUUUUUAUCUCAAAAUUAAAAAAAAUACAAUUUCACCAUUUGUUAUCAAUUAUCUACUUUUGCUAUCUUGGACCCAUAUGCCUAUCAUGGUUUUUUCUUUUCUUUUCUAAAGAAUAUUUGAUACAGAAAAACUCUCAUAUGUUUUAUUAUCGUAUAAUUAAAUAAAAAAUAAUUUCUGAGAUAAAAAAUUUAUUAAAUUCAAGGAAGUGCACGACUUGCAUUGUGAGUUUGCUUGGUUGACUUGAGUUCACUUGGUUUGUUUUGUAAUUGAGUGUUAUUUUUUACCAAUUUCAUUCUUCAACAUUAAGUUAAUUGAGGAUUAAACUUUUCAAUUUGUUUUUUUUAAUUAUUAUUUCUAUAAGUUUAGCAAGUCAAUUCAGAUCGACUGAAGUAGAUGCAUUGUGUUUCUAUCUUAUCAUUUAAUAUACAAUUUCUUCUGAAUUCAUAGUUAAAAUUUACUUUUUUUAAGAGAUGUUUUCUUUUUAUUGUGUUUGAAAAAAAAUUUGCCCUGACCCACAACUUAACAGAGAUCAAUGUGCUAGUCUAGCUCUAUUCACUGUCCUAAGAUUGUUGAUGGCUUGGCCCAUGGUCAACAAGUUACGUCCAAGUUCAGUUUACUGAUUGAUUGAGUAGAAAAAUAAAAGUGAUCACAAAAUGAUAACAACAAGGUUCUGCUUUUUAACUUGAAACGCAAGGAAAAUGUUUAGAAAUAAUUAAGAAAAUUCUAGAUUCAUUAUUUAUUCGAGGUUCAUGAAUGUAUAUAAUUAGUAGGGGUUCAUGUAUAUGCUAGUACAUUCAUCUGUAUUUAAUGAAUCUUAAACUCCCAUUUUAAAGGGGAGGAAGUAAAUCUCAACUCUGACUUUUGUUUUUGUUCCUACACUUGAAAUAUUCUUGCUUUAAGGUUUAUUUUAAAGGAGAGGAAGUAGAUCUCAAUUCUAAGUUACAGACUGAGAAUUCUCCUGUCACAAAAUCUUUCUUAGAACAUGAGGAAGGUUUCUAGUGAACUUUUAGAUUUUUUAGUUCUUCCAGUUUCAGAUUGUUUAUAGUAUACAAAUAUAUUUCACAUUGUUUUUGGCACAAAGUUGACAGAAAAGAAAAGAACGCGAUUUCCGAAUCCUUCAUACGAAUUAAAUCUUUCCCACCAAAAAGACCAAACAAGAUAUCUUUUAGUUAACGAAUCUCUCUCUAUUGUUAUUUAGGAUCAUCAUUUUGGUUACAUUUUGUUAAUCCAGGAAGCUAACAGUGCAAGUGAAUCUGCAUCGCGUCAUGCAGAUCACACCAGUCGAUUUCCAUCAAAAUCUACAAAUAAGAGACCUACUCAAUCAAGGAACAAAGGAAGUGCAUUUGGGAAACGUAUUGUUCCCGUGAAUGUUAAAUUUGAUGAUAUAAUUGAUGAAGUAAGAUAUGCUUUAAGCAAUUGUGCUGCCCCUACAAACGUUGAGCAUGAAAAGACAAUGGCAGAGGAAGCAAAACAGUACUUGUACAUGAUGGAUUCAAGUCUUCUCAUCAGACAGAAGAGUCAGACGCUGCAGUUAGUGAAGUUGCUAAUCAUAAAACAGAAGAUUCUUGUUCGUCCAUGCCUCAAUCUGUCAACGGAAGUGGUUGCUAAGAAUUUACGAUUUCUGAUUCAAAUCUGAAAGGGUCUGAUUAUGCCCCAGAUGUGAAAAAUUUCGCAACUGAGGAACAACUUUCGCUGUUGAAAUCAAGGUGCAGAUAGACAGAGAUAUUCCGUAAAAAACUUGUAAUUCCUGUGUUGGUGAAAUUGAGAAAAAGCAAAAGAAAUCAUCAACUAGCCACUUCGAAGGCAAUAAAAAAACUGGCCAAAUCAAUGGAUUGGAUUAACUAUAGGGGUUGAUGGACUGGAGAAUUUCAGGAUGGACAUUUGUGCUUGCAUUGUUUAUUGGCUGUGGUGGCGAAUACAUGCACCUUCAUCUUUUCAUUGAUCUCACCAUCGCAACCACCAAUGUUCAAGCCCAUCAGAGCACCGGCCAAGCCCAGUGUCAUUGGCCUGCAACAUGUAGGCAUGAACCCCCACGAAAUAUAAAAUGCUAAGCAAUACAAUAUCGGUGUACAUUUGGCUAAACGUAUCAGCCAACUCAUAUUUCUUUGAAGUAUUUAGUGAGACUUGCAAGUAUGUUAGUAGUUGUUGCACCAAAUUCAUCAUAUAGAAAACGUAGAUUCAUCUACAUUAUACAGAGGCUUAAAUCAAGAGAAAGAUGCCCACCUGCGAUGAACAAGUUUGUUAUCUGAAAAUGGCUUGGAAUCUCCUGGAAAUAUUUUUUUCUCCUUUUCUCCCAUUAUUUGGCACGCCAAUAUUUUUUUUCUCUUUUUCUCCCAUUAUUAUACUAUUUCAAUCUACAAUGUUAGUGUUUUAUGUGAGCGUCAACAGUGAAACACUGAACUCCUUUAUUUUUUUAAUUUUAGAUUUUUUUUAUUUACCUUAAAUAUAAUUAUGAAAUUCUUUGAGGUUUUCUUAUCAUGAAACUGGUAAUUAAGUUAUCCAUUUCCUUAAUGUAUUUUGUUUCCAACAUCUUAAGCAGAUUAUUUUUUUUUACGGGUUUGAGAAGCUUAUAGUUAUCCCAUUUAUAAGAUUAUUAUUACUUUUACCUUUCCGUUUGUUUUUAAUGGAAAGUUACUAAAAAACAAUUAUCAAAUUAACUUUCUCGCGAGUACUUCUUUUAAAUACGAUGUAGAAGGUUUCUAAGAAACUUUCAGGUUUUUAUUAUUUUCCAUUUUCAACUUUUUUAUAGUACUGUACCAUAGCUCAAAUGGAUGUUUUGGACGAAAAUACAAGUAAAGAUGUAGAAUGAAAAAGUCUUGAGUUUCGCCUUACCUCCUAAGGAAAGGAAUAGACAUACAUCUUUGUAAAUUACAGGGAUGAUAAAAAAAACUGAAAAACAGAUUAAAUCGAGAAAAUUGAACCGUGAAAAAAAACUGAUUAAACUUAUUAAAAUUAAAAAAAACCAACCGGUUCGGUUCCGGUUUUAUAAGUUUGAAACCGAAAAAACCGAACCAAACCGAACCCAAACCGAAAAAAACUGGAAAAAAAUCGAGCCAAACUAGAAAAAACCGAGCCAAACCGAAAAAACCGAGUCAAACCGAUUUGAACCGAUUUUGUCCUAAAAAACCAAACCAAACUGAAACCGGUCGGUUUUUAAAAAAAUCGGUUUGCUUAUUUUUUUUGACAAAAACCAAACCGAACCGAACCAAAAAUAAUCACCAAAAUAAAUUAUACCCUCUCGUGUGGUGUUAUUAUAUAACAUUAAUGUUUUCUAUAUUUAUAGAAAGAAAUUUACUUGCUUACGGGCCAAAGAUCCAUAGUCCCCUAUCAAGUCCAUAAAAGAUAAAUCUGAAAUAGAAAAAAUAAUAAUAAUAAGCCCAUGUAGCUUAAUUGCUUCAGGAAAGCACAAACCUAUCCCCGACGGCGAGGGAGCACUUGCCUGCCCCCGUUGGAGAGAACUUGCCCCAGUUGAUGCACCGCCAUAUGAUUUGUCACCUGGUGGUGCUGGCCACGCCAAGCACGCUUCCGUUGUAGAAGGCGAAUAAAGUGACAAAACUCCACUUUUGAUACACCACCAUACCUAGUAGAGCUAUGAAUUCCGAUAAUUACCGUAAUGCUAGGGUUGAUAGCGUCUUACCAAUUAUGCCCUCACAGCCAUGCAAGGUGGUACAUUCAUUCAAGUUUAAAUAUAUCUGGUAAAAAAAGCCCAAGAAAAAUCAGACAUAUCACCUUAAAAGAAACAUUCUCCACGGGGGUGAUUAUUUUCUCCACCCCACUGUCUUAAUUCUUCUUCCGCUGCAUGCAUAUCCUAUUCACUAUUUUUAAUUUUUCUAAUUUAAGCAUUAAAGGAUUACUACAUUAUUUAGGGUGUUUAAAAAAAAGUGUCUUUUGAUGCAAUUCAUUUAAUUUAUGGUUAUUUCAUAAUUUUCAACACUUUCACUUUUUUUUUAUUUUGUAUGGUAAUAAAUAAAAAUUAAAAAAAAACAGUGAAAUGAUAGGCAAUGAAGAGAAGAAGAACUAAUAUAUUGAAAGAUAAAAAAAUAUGAAAGAUCAAAUAAAAUAAGGAAAUUCAAAGAUGCAAAAAUAAAUAAGGCUUAUUUGCAUGCAAUAAUGUAAAUAUUGAAACAAAAUUGAAAAGAUUCAAGUUGACUUGAACUACAAAGAAAGCUUUAAUAAACAUAUUUAGAGAAUCAACAAUUAUGAAUCUUAUUGAAGUGAAAAGAAAAAAUAAGAGAUCUUGUACGGUUCAAGAAUGAAAAAAAAAAUGAUUUUUGUUCAUAAAAUUUCCAAGAUUUAAAAUCCUCAUCAAUCUUCUAAUUAAUGAUUAGAUUUUAUUUUUUAGGAUUCUUAGCACUAUAAAUAGAGGCUUAGAGCAAGGUUGUCAAAAAUGCUUUUUUGAUACGACACGGAAUAUACAAUAUAAACUCGAAUCGCAAAAUCAUAAAAUCGUAAGUAAAAUAUUUUAACUAAUUAUAUAUUAACAAUUUCAAUCAAGUAGUAAUUAACAAUAUAACACAAUUAAAAUAAACAAUAGAAAAGUCCAAACACCUUUAUUUUAUUCACAUUGUUCCUCUACUUCUUGGACAAAUCGACCCACUUAUUUCGUCAUUUACAAGAAACAAGUCCCUUCCAAUUUUGAUAGACUGCAAGGGUCAAGCAUGUCAAUUUAUAACUUUUAUUCUAUAUAUUUGCCAGCUAAAACAGAGUAAUUUAUCAAUUGAUAUGUUAAUAGUUUACAUAAGAAAUUAUGAAGAAUGAAUAUGUAUUUUAAUUUUACAGAAAUGAAAUCCACAAAUAACUUGUAUCGUUAAAAAAAUUAUAAUAAUUAUAGUCAAAAUCAAGCCCUUGAUUAUCAAAUUUCACAAGUUUGCAAGAUAUAAAUUUAAAACAAUGAAAAUGUUUAAGAUACAGAUUACCAGAAUGCAUAAUUUUAUAUUUUUUCAAACUCGUAAAAUCGAUCCGAUUUUACCGAGUUUGAACGAGUUUAACUGAUUUUACUAAUUUUUGAGUUUUAAUCCGAUUUAACACGUUAGAUAUAUUUUAACUCGUAAAAUCAUAAGAUUUUAAGAGUCAACUCACUUUUUUGAUAACCUUGCUUAGAGUAGAUGCUGGGAGAACAUUAAGAAAUGAUCAAACAAACAAGAAAAGACUACAAAAAAAAAAGAAAAAAAAAUCAAAACAAACCGUUAGCCAGAUGAGAAAUGAAGAAAAAGAAAACAAGAGAAAAAAAAAAGAAAAAAAAAUUAUAUGCUCUCACUCUCUCCUCUUUUUCUUACCCACAUUGCUAGAUUCUAACCAUUGCUCCAUCAUAACAACAAUAGCCUCGUAUUGACCAUAGUCUCAUCUUUCUCUUUAUGACCGAGCAAACUUCCUUUCUGCCAUGAAAAACCAUUCAAAACCUAUCUCCUUUUCUCAUUACUAGAACUCAUCAACCAACGUUUUUAUUUCCUCUACAAUAAAAAAUUCCCCUUUUCGACCAAAUCAAUCCCUCCAUACAAACCGAAACAACCCAGCUACAACAACCACAAACCAUCACAACCUUCUCUACUAGAAUUUACAACCACCUUUCUUUGGUUCGAUCUCUUCCCUUAGAUUAUAUAGAGGCUCACCACUAGUGAAGGCAAGAAGAGGAAAAGGAGGCACACUUGGUCCAUAAACUCACAUGCCUUUCCCCUUCACUAACGCAUGUAAUCAUGCUCCAUAAUAUUGGUCACGCAUCCACGCAUGUAACUACGUGUCAUCGUUGCCUGGUCACAGUUCCAACAACUUCUAACCAUCUCCUAUAAUUUUUUAAGGUCAUUUUCAAACACAUAAUGCACUGGAUUGCUUAUUUUAAAUAUUUUUUUAAUAUUGUUAUUGAUACUUGAGUAAAUUAUGAUGAAAUAUUUGAAGUUUUGGGGUUCAUGCCAUUACAUAGCAAUCUCAAGGGAUAUGAAGUCACUGGAGAUUUAUUUUUUGAGGUGUAAUAAGAUUGGAAUCAAUACUCCUUGAUGGGUUUAUGAGGAUGUGUUGCAAUAAGAUUAUCCUAUGUGUAAUUAUGUGACCUAGGUGUGGAAUGUCAUGCGUAGAUGUGUAAGUUUUCUUAUUACAAAAUUUGUGAUUUUAUCAUAUUAAGUAAAUGGUAUGAUUAUAUGUGUUCUUCCUUUUUCUUGUGUGGUUAUAUGUUGAAUUUUUGUUUUAAUUAAAGAAUCAAUCCAAGGUGAUAUGGUUCUUAAAAGGGUCAUGUCUUUAGGAUGUUAAAACUUGUUAUAUAUAUAUAUAUAUAUAUAUAUAUAUAUAUAUAUAUAUAUAUAUAUAUAUAUAUAUGUUUGCUUUCACAUUUCUUUAUCAAAGAAUUAACCUAGAGGUGGUAUGAUCCUUAAAUGGAUCUUAUCUUUAGGAUGUUAAGUUAGUGUAUAUGCCCUGUAGCCAAUCAGUUAAUUAUAUGUGACAUUAACUUUGUUUAUGUAAAUAUAUUUAACUUAUUAAUAAAGGCUUAUUUAUCUAUAAUAUUUAUAAAAUAUUUUUAUUAAUGAAUCUAAUAUUUGAUUAAUGAAUCUAAAGUAAAGAUAAAGUUCUUAGGACAAAAAUCAUUUGCAAAGAAAAUUAUAAAGUUAUUAUAAUUAUGGGUUUUCUAUUGCAUCAAAGCAUUGUUCUUAAAUGUUCCUAGUCAACGCCCUCUUAAGACUGGAUACUAAUUAGAACUAUUGAGACUAAUACAUAUAAUGUUCUUUCUUUUAUGAAAGAAAACAGUUGUUCUCAUAAGAUGAGGUAUGAGGGAUACCUAAAACUAAUAUACAGGUGUUUGUCGAAUGACUUGUAUACUAAACCAACCCACAUAAGAAUUUUAUAAGGGAAAAUCCCAUGUGAUGGUUGUGUAAGUGAUCCUUAGACUUGAGAUCACUAAGUUAUCUUAUAUAUGACUUUCCUAACAUUUGGGGGAGCAUGAUAGGUUACUUGACAUUGUACUUGAUCUUCAAAUAUAAAUCAAUUAAUUAUUGGAUUGAUAAUAAAUUAAUUUGUUUAAUUUAUUUAAUCCUAUUUCAUUUAGGAUUAUGAUUUAUAUUUGGACCAACUUAUUGGGAACCUAAUGGGUUACACACAUAAGAACCUUAGUGAAAAAUAAAAAUGAGAUGAUUAAUUAAGUGUGACUUAAUUGUAAAUAAAUUUUAGAAAUUACGGCUUAGAAUGUAAUUCAUAUAAUAGAUUACAAUUCUAGACCUAAAAAAAAUCAUGUAAGGACUUCAUUGAAUAAAUUUAUAAAAUCAUCCUAAAAUAAUAUAUGUGAUAUUAUUUAAGGAGAAAAUUGAUAAUUUGUUAUUUAUAGAGUUUUUAGUUUUUCCUAUAAGUUCAUAUAGAAGGGUAUUUGAUCCUUUUGAUUAUGAAUCAUAUGAAAUUUCUAAAGCUUAUUUAUUGGGUAAGAUAGCCAAAACACCAUUUUAUUGAAAGAGUGAAAAAUCUAAUGAAUUGUUAGGUCUAAUACAUACAAAUAUAUAUGAACCAAUAAUGAUUUUGCUAUGGAUGGAUAUACAUGUUUGAUCAGUGAUGACCAUAUUGGACAUGAUCAUGUGUAUUUGAUGAAAGUCUCAAUCAUUUGAAAGGUUCAAAGAAUUCAGAUAAAAUUAAAAAAAAAACUAGUAAGAGUAUUAAUAUACUUCAAUCGGAUCGAGAUGGUGAAUACUUCAGCCAAGACUUUCAAGAUUAUCUAAAAGAGAAUAAGAUUCUCUUAUAAUGGAAACGUUUUGAAAGGAGAAAUUGCACACUAUUAGAUAUGAUGUUGUUCAUGAUGAGCUAUACAAACUUUUCACCUUUCUUUUAUAGCUAUACCCUUUAAACUACUACUUAUCUUUUAAAAAGGAUUUCAUCAAAAUAUAUUGAUAGAGAUCUAUAUGAGACAUGGAAUGGUAAGAAAUCAAUCUUAUCAUACUUAAAAGAUUUGUGAUGAAAUGCUUAUAUGAAGCGUAUUGUAUCUAAAAAUCUAGGAGCUAAGUUAGAUAAAUACAAGUUUAUAGAAUAUCCAAAAAAACUAUUGGAUAUUAUUUAUAACAUCCCGUUGAGCAAAAGUAUUUGUCUCAAAACUUGCGACUUUUCUAGAGAAAGAAUUUGUUCUUUAAAGGAACAAUGAGAGUAAAAUAGAACUUGAAGAAGUUUAAGAAUCACAAACUGACAUCCAAAUAGAACCUAAGCUUGAUGCUAUAAUAUUGGAUGUUCAACCUAAAGCUUAAUAAACAUAAAAACUCCAUAGAUUUGGUAGGACAUGUCAUGCACCAAUGAGAUAUGGACUUCUCAUGAAAGCUGAAAGUAAUGAGUUGCUUAUACUUAAUGAGCCUGCCUAUUACAUGGAACUAAUAUCUGAUAUUGAUUCUAAAAAAUGGUUUGAGGCCAUGAAAUCUUAAUAAACAUAAAAACUCCAUAGAUUUGGUAGGACAUGUCAUGCACCAAUGAGAUAUGGACUUCUCAUGAAAGCUGAAAGUAAUGAGUUGCUUAUACUUAAUGAGCCUGCCUAUUACAUGGAGUUUUAUGUGUUGCCAAAGGUUACAAAACAAAGACAAAUGGGUUGACUUUAAUGAAACCUUCUAGUCGGUAACUAUGUUAAAACCUAUACAGAUUUUUUUUUGUUAUAUCUACAUGCCAUAAUUAUGAAAUUUGACAAAUGGAUGUCAAAAAUGUAUUUUUAUAUAGGAAAUCUUCAAGAAGAUGUGUAUGUGACACAACUUGAAAGUUUUGGAUAUGAAGAAUUUAUCAAUAAAUUAUGCAAGCUAUAAAAAUCCAUUUAUGGACUUAAGCAAGCUUCAAGGAGUUGGGAUAUCCAUUUUGAUGAAAUAAUCAAACAAUUUGAUUUCAUCAAAAAUAUAAAUAAGCCUUAUAUUUAUAAAAAGGUCUGUGGGAGUAGAGACGUUUCCCUAAAAUUAUACAUACACAACAUAUUAUUAAUAGGAAAUGACAUUUCUUUACUCUAGUUAGUCAAGAUCUAGUUGUCUAAGAAUUUUUCCAUUAAGGAUAUAAAAGAAGCAACCUAUAUACUAGGAAUAAAGAUCUAUAAAGAUAGAUCCAAAAAAGUUACUUGUAUUGUUAUAAUCCAUGCAUAUAGACAAAAUGCUGAAAUGAUUUAGCAUGGAAGAAUAAUAAAAAAAGAUAUUUAUCUAUAAGAUACACCUCUACAAGGAUAUGUGCCCUAAAACAUAAAUUGAGAUAGAUAAAAUGGAAAUGACAUCAUAUACUAUGGAUAUAAGAUUCAUAAUAUAUGCGAUGCUAUGUACAAUACCAGGUGUAUCUUAUGCUUUGAGCAUAACAAGUAGAUACCAAUCUAAUGCACGUGAGAGUCACUGAAAGAUAGUUAAAAAUAUUCUUUAAACACUUAAGAAGAAUUAAAAAAACAAUUCGGUUUAUAGAGGAGAUGAACUAGUAGUUCAUGAUUAUUUGGAUGCUAGUUUUCAAAAAGAUAUUGAAAAAGAAAUUCAGUCUAAUUAUAUUUUACUUUAAAUAAUAGUGUUGUAAGAUGAAAGAGUAUCAAAUAAGAGACUAAAGUAAAGUCUACAAUUAUAGUUGAGUACACCUCUAUUUUUGAGGAGACAAGAGAUGUUGUUUGAAUCAAAAAGUUCAUUACUAAACUAGAUGUGGUUUUUAGGAUUGUUGAUCUAGUAGCCCUGUACUAUGAUAACAAUAUAGCCAUUACAUAAAAAAAGAAACCAAGGCCUCAUCAAUGAUCCAAAAAUACACUUAGAUAAUUCCAUUUUAUUAGAGAAUUAUAGAAAGAAAAUAUGUAAAGAUAGAGCGAGUAUCUACUGAAGAGAAUCUUGUAAAUCCUCCUACUAACCCACUAUCCCAGUAAAAACAUUAUCGACAAAUAAAACGAUAUGGUAAUUGAUACAUGAGGGAUUGGUUUUAAUGCAAGUGGAAGAUUGGUAGUGUAUAUGCCUUGUAACCAAUCAGUUGGUACAUAUGACAUUGACUUUGUUCAUGUAGAUAUAUUUAACUUAUUAAUAAAGGUUUAUUUAUCUUUAAUAUUUAUCAAAUAUUUUAUUAAUGAAUCUAAUAUUUGAUUAAUGAAUCUAGAGUAAAGAUAAAUUCAUUAGCACAAAAAUAUUUUGUAAAAUAAAUUAUAAUAUUCUUAUUGCAUCAAAGCAUUGUUUCUAAAUAUUCUUGAUCAAUGCUUUAUUAAGACCGGACAUUAAUUAGUGCUAUUGAGAUUGAUACAUAUUAUGUUCUUUCCUUUAUUAAAGAAAACAGUUAUUCUCAUAUGCUGAGGUAUGAGGGGUAUCUAGAACUAAUAUGGAAGUGCUUGUCAGAUCACAAGUACAUUGAACAAACCUGUAUGAGAAUUAUAUAUGGAGAGAUAACAUGUGUCUAUAAAAAAGCUCAUGUGAUGAUUGCGUGAGUGAUCUUUAGACUUAAGAUCACUAACUUAUCUUAUAUAGAGAGUGUUAUAUUUUGAUCUUACUAAACAUUUUCCUAAUCAAGGGUAACAGAUGAACAAAUAUUAGGUAGAACACAAACUAUAUGAAGGUAUUUAAGAAAUCAAGAGAAGAUUUUUCAUCCUAGUGGAUUAGGGAAAGUUUUCAUUCUGUUCUCAAAUAGUGUUCAUUGUAAAUCCUUGUGUAAAGUGGAAUGAGAUUUGUAUAGAGUUUCAUAUCUUAUUCAAAUAAUCAAUGACUAUGAUGUUAAGAACAAACAUGAUUUGAUAUAGUAGACACACUUCAUGCUAUAAUAUUUAAAUUGGAACAUUGUUGAUGAAGGGAUACUAAUUACAAUGAGAAACUGGUCAUUGAAAGGUUAAGUCAAACCACUUAUGACUUUUUUAAACAUUUAGGGGAUCAUGACAAGUUGCUAGAUAUUGUACUUGAUCUUCAAAUAUAAAUCAAUCAAUUGUUGAAUUAAUAAUGAAUUAAUUUGUUUAAUUUAUUUAAUCCUAUUUUAUUGAGGAUUAUGAUUUAUAUUUGAGCCAAAUUAUUAGGGAACCUAAUAGGUCAACCAUUGGUCAGAAAUUAAAAUGAGAUGAUUAAUCAAGUGUGACUUGAAUAUAAAUAAAUUUUAGAAAUUGAGGCUUAAAAUGUAAUUAAUACAAGGGAUUACAAUUCUAGACCUAGAAACAUUCAAGUAAGGACUUCAUUGAAUAAAUUUCUAAAAUUAAUCUAAAAUAAUAUAUGUGAUAUUAUUUAAGGUAAAAAUUGAUAUUUUAUUAUUAUUGCGUUUUUAGGUUUUCCUAUAAAUAAAAAAGCUAUGCCUCUUAUUUUUUAAGGGUGAGUACAUAAACACCUAAAACACAAAAGAAAAGAGCUUCCAUUCUAAGGUAUAACAAUCCCUCUCUCUUAAAAGGGUUUAGAAGAUUUUUCACUAGUGGUUUGUGUAGAUUACCGUUAGAGAUCGGACAACUGGAUGACUUGUGGUUUGGGAUAACUCAACCUUAUAGCAAAUAUUCAAAGGUGAAAAUAACAUUUGAUCUUCAGGUAAUCUUCGUAUAAACCCUAAACAACUCUAGAUCUAUCUAACGAGGUUCUAGAGAAUCCUAAAAGAUUUUUAAAUUUUCUAUUUCUGUUAUGUAUAUAUGUUCCGAGAAACCUGAUGGUUAAGACUUUGUUAAUUUAUUAAAAAAAAAAGAGUUUGUUAAAAUAUACUAUUUUUCAAGUGAAGUUGUAAACGAUUUCAUAAGAUUGCAAACAUGGAAGAUAUAAAGAAUGCAAUUUGAAUAAUAAAAAGUAUUUAAUAAUUCUUCUAUUUUUUAAUUUUAAUUAAUAUCUCUCUCUUAUUUUUAAAAUUAUUUAGUUUAAAUUUUUUAAUAGUAAUCUUUUUUUUUAGAUUGUUUUUAUAAUUUCACAUUACCUUAAAUAGAUUAUUGUAACUUGUUUUAAUUUUCUUUCUUGUAAAUUGUACUUGCAUGAUGAAUAUAGAAGAACAAAAUUAAUUUAAAAUCCUAUUUGCAACCUAAUCAAAGGCAGUAUCUUCCAUAAAUGCAAGAUUACAAUAUUAGUUCAAAGGCAGUAUCUUCCAUAAAUGCAAGAUUACAAUAUUAGUUCAAAGGCAGUAUCUUAUAACGGAACGAAAUAAAAAGAUAGAUUACAAGUACAAAAUAUUGGGCCAUUAAUUAAAAGAUGUUGAGAUCCAACUAAUUAAAAGAUGUACAUAUUUUCAAUACAAUUAAAACAUUUGAGGUGGAAACACUGUUUCUAUAAAAAAUAAACCACCCCAAUUUGUUUUCUUUCAUUCAUUCACUUCUUUCUUUUCUUUUUGAUAGGUUUUUUUUUUUUUAAUUUGCAUCCUUCUUUUAUCUUUUAUUGAAUCUUUUUAUUUUUCAUUUAACAAUUAUAGUUUAAUUUUAUAAAAUUAAUACUUGCUAAAUCAUGAAAUGAUUUUUGAGUUAUUACAAAAAACAUUUUGAAAACAAGGAGAAUUCACUAUGCACCUAAUCAUAGAUUAAUAUUCACUACAACAGUGUAAUUAAAACUUUGCCGUUUUAAAAAAAUCAGUAGUCUUAGUGUUAGGGGUAAAAUGAUUUUUUAAGAGUUCAUUAGUCAUUAUGAAAUUAAUUGGAGGUAAUUUAUUCUUUUUAUCUUUUAAAUGCACAAUGUGAUGAUUAUAUUGCCCAAAAAAAUUAUUUUACAAUGUUGCAUGGUAGUAAUUCAGUCAUUUUACGUUUGGUACUAUGUAAAGACUGUAUUCCUUUACAAGAAAAAAAUGAUUGAACUUACAUAAAAUGACUUUUUUAUCUUUUCAUAUUGAUUUUUUUAUAAUAAACAAGUUCACAAGGAGACAAUUUGAUUUUUUAAAUUAUAUAAAUAUUAUUAAAAAACAUUGUUGGCGCAUACCGGCAAGUGCCUCAUCAUCCUUUUCCAUUAAUGCCACACAUUCGAUGACGUGGUGGUUGAGCUUUGAUAGACUUUUUUCUUUUUAUCCCUCUUCUUUCUCUCUUCCCCUUGCUAAAAAAUAAAUGUAUCAUUUACUUUGUUUUUUGUUUUCAAAUCGACCUUCAUUCUUUUGAUUGCUUUUUGUUUUUUUUUCCAUCUUUUUUUCAUUGAUUUGUUUUUUAAUUUUUCCCUUCAUCAUUUAUUUUCAUUUAAUUUUUAUUUCAAAUGGGGUCUUCAUUCUUUUUACUAAUGUUUUUAUUUUUAUUUUUAUUUUUACUCAUUUUCCUAAUUGAAUUUGGUUUUCAAUUUCUUCACUCAACAUUUGAUUUCAAAUUAUUUUUAUAUUCAUUUUUGUCCCCAUUCUUUUAAUUGUAAUUUAUUUUAUUUUGAAUCCUUUUUUAUUGUAAUUUAUAAUAGCUGCCCACAAUGUUUUGGUUUUCUUUUACUUUUCUAUUCCAGAUUUAAUCUUUUCACAUUGAAUUGACUUAAGAUUAAGUUUGAUAUUUCGUUUUAGUUUGUUUUAUAUGGAGAUCUCGCAAUGUUAGAAAUAAAUUUUAACAUUAAGUUAAUGCUUGAUUUUAAAAAAUAAAACUCAAUUUUAUUGAUUCAAAUUAAUUAAAGUUUUAGGAACUCAGUUUCAAACUAAAACAAAUAUUCUACAUCGAUUUUCUUAGAAUUUUUUUUUAUGUCAGCUUUUUAACUUAAUUUUUAGUUGGGAUCAAUAAAUUUGUUGUCAUUUAAUGGCGCAUAUAAUUUUCAAUUUAUUUUACUGAAAAAAACACACAUACACACACAAACAAAUAUAUAUAUAUAUAUAUAAAAUUUUUAGUUUGAAGUUAAGAUUUUUAGAUUUUUCUCAUAGAAAAAAAUAUCAUCAACAGUGUCUACAUCUUUUUUGUUGCAUUGAAAAAAAAUACUUGAUCCCGCGGCGCACCAUGAUCAAUCAAACAAGUUGUUAUUAAAUAUAAUAAUUUUCAAUUCUGUAUGGAUUUUCGAUUGCGUCAUACACAGUCCCCGAAUUAAAUUGCUUUAAAUUUGAGUACCGCUCAACCGAUCUAUCAAUUCAUUGUACCAAUUUCAUGGGAGAAAGCAUUUGUGGAUGCGUAAUUAUGCCUAACUUCCAACUUCUAACAAGAGUGUUGUCAACAUAUUAAGCAUGUUGCUUUUAGCACAUAAAAAGGAAAAUGUUACAACACAUAUUUUGGCAUCUUAUGAUGUCUUUAGAUAAAUUUUAUGAUGUCUUUAGAUAUUAAAAAAAACAUUUCAAGUUAAUAAUUUAAGUUGUUAGGUGAGGUUUUAAAAUUUAAGUUGUUAGGUGAGGUUUUAAAAUAUAAUUUAUAUUAUUCUCUAACCCAUAAUUUCUUAAGUAAAAGCUCUCUAAACUUGAAACUUGCACAAGUUUUCAUUACUUUGUACUUAAUUUUUAUCAAAUAAAUGGGGAUAACAAGAUUCGAACUCGUGAUCGCUUGGUUAUCAAGGCUCUGAUACCAUGUUAAAAAACCAUCUUAACCUAAUAAUUUAACCUUUUAGGUGAGGUCUCAUGAUAUAAUUUAUAUUAUUUUUUAAUAUUAAAUAAUUUAAAACAUGUUUGGAAAAUAAAAAGAAUAUAAAGUUCCUAUCAUCUAAGAUAGAAAACUUACGACUCAAUUCUCAAACAAAUAAUUAAUUUUUUAAUUCGAUGAUAAAAUGUAUUUUAAGUUAACUAAUACGUCAAUCAAAAUUAACUUUCUAUCAACCGCAUAUGGUUUUUAGAAUUCGCCUACUAUAUCAGCUUUAUAUAUUCAAAUGAAUAAAUUUUAUGGAGUAAUUUUCAUGAGUUGGUCCUAAGUCUAGAACUUGAGAAGUUAAAGAAAAAAAAACCCAACAUUUUAACUAUUAGACCUAUCCUUUAAGAGUUAAUAAUAAAAGUUAUUAAAUAUCAUCUUUCUCACUUCUUUUUUUCAUUACAAAAAUUCCUCUUUUUAAUUAUUGAAAUAUUUUUUGAUUAAAUAAUUAAUGAUUUCCAGACAUGGUAACCUACUUAACUAUCAUAUAUAACUAUCAUAUAUUGAGUAAAAGGACGUCCUACUACUAUGAACACCAAUAUAUUUUUUUUUCAAAUUAAAAUGUCUUUUUACGUGAUUUAUAACACUUAAUUUUCGAACUACUUUCAUGAUAUUUUUGAACUAUCAAACAAUAUUUCCAUGAAAAAUAUCUUAUUUUAAACAGGCCAUUUAUCAAAAUCGAAGUUAAAAAUUGAAAAGUUCUACACUAUAGAUUUUAGACCCGAUUGUUCUGGUAAAAAAAAAAGAGGUUCAUUUUUAAUAUAAUAUUUUAAUCAUAUUACAUCUUCAGUUAAGGACUUGAUUUGAUGGUUAAUAUAAUAAACUUCUAAUGAAUCUUUUAAUUUUAAUGUAGAUAAUUUACUUUUGACAGGACCAGAACGGAGUAAAAUUUAUAGUAAUUGAUCAGCAGUUAAAAAGAGGGAAACAAAAUUACGACGUCCAUAGCAUGAACAACUUCAUUGCGUACAAUGUCUCAUCCAUUUUUUUUUUUUUUAGUUUAACGUGGGUGUCUGGGCCAGCUUGCACGUACUUCGACUAAUCUCACGGGCCCUAAAAUUAACGAUCAUGUAAGUCUCCAGUGGCCAUCAUAUGAGCAACCACAAGGCUCGAACCUGAGACCACAGAAAGAGCAAACUUCUUGGUCCCAAGCUUUUACCACUGGACCACCACCUAGAUGGUUCUCAUCUACCUUUUCUUCAUAUUUCAAUAAACGUUUAUAACCUGUGCAUUUUAUGUAAUCUUUCCUGUGAUGGUACUCUUCAUUCUCAAACCAGACAGGGAGGCAAGUGAAUUGUACACCACUAGCACUUCAAGUCUUCAACUACCAGCCAACCCAUACAAGUAAUUAUUAUGUGCAAUAAACCAAGGGGCCCUUCUCAAGGGAACUUUCUAAUGGUAUAUAACUUUCUAAUGGGUGGUUAACAAAUAGUUAUGUAUAAUUUUUUUAUACAACUCAAGGCUGAAAGAGGAGUGGGGUAUCAUCAUUGACAAUAACAACUCAUUAAAUCAACAACAAUUGCUCUAUAACUGAACUAAGUUUACAGGAUCUUUAAAACCUAUUAUAGUAAACUUGUAAUUUUAUAGGCAGAUAAUCAAUAUAUAAUUAGCUUGUAGGCUAAUAAUUUUUAGAUGAUCAGCAGGCUUGUAAUUACAGGCUUGUUAUCCAGUAGGCUUGUAGUUUUAAUUGUAAUUUGGUAGGCUUAUAAUUUCAUUGCCAAAAAACCCAAAAAAUAUCAAAAAAUAUAUUAGUUCAUGUUCUUUUGUUAAGGAAGUGCGUGAUUGUAAUCAAAUCAAGAAUCAUAUAAUGAAUGUAAGUUUGUUUUAUAUCUUGAAUUAUUAAGUUAUUUUUUCGCAUUUAAAGCAUUUAAGUUGUUUAAUUACUCCUCAAGUCUUUAUUUUAUUUAUUACUUCUCAUGUUUAAGUUUUCUUUAUCUAUAUAAAAAAAAGAAUCACAAAAUUUUAAGUCUCACAAUAUUAUCAAAAAUUAUUAAGUUAUUUAGAGAUCACCAGUUUAAGUCUCACAAAUCUCGGAGCUACUGGAAGCUUAUAUGAUCAUUAACUUUAGGGCACAUGAGAUUAAUCGAGAUGCGCGCAAGCUAACCCGGACACCCACGUUAAUAAUAAUAAAAAAUAAAUACUAGAUGAUGUACUCUUUUUUCUGGAUUUGAAUCAAUAUUUACUGAACCUGAGUCUAUUUUCCUAUUUAAAAUUUCAAUUCUCUCUUUUAAAAUUUUAAUUUUACUUAUCACAAUUUAACUUGAAGUAUAAGAAAAAAAAUCUCCUUAAUCAUUAAUACUACAUCUUUAAAUUUAAAUCAAUGAAAAGGUGAUCACAGUUAUUAAAUAAUUAUUGGUUACCUCCAUAAGACAUUUUCUUUAGAAACAGUUAAUUUAUUCUAUAAUUUCUCAAAUUAGUAUUAGUAAUAAGGACUAAGGAGCCACAUCCUAACCUAACCUUUAACCAUUCAAGAGCUGCAGUAAAUUAAAUAUGAAUUACAGUCUCAAUAAUCUUAAUUAUCUUGCAUAUCUUCAGCUGGUUCACACUCCAUGGUAAUCUUUGUUCUUCCUUUUGCAAUCAACUUAAACCACAAAUAUGGAAAGAUUUUCUACAUUGUUUUACAUGCAUUGGAGACUACGGAAUUAAUAUUCAAACUACAUUCAAACACUUACUAAAUUGGGUUUCUUUCAUUUCGAAGCCUUAAUUACGUUCUCUGAUUACUGCAAGUUAUUCUACAUAGCAACAUCAAAUCCCUCUAGAGUCAUCCUUCCAUUGACGUGGAGCUUUAGCCAUGAAAGCUGACCUAUUUUUUCCUGCUAUUAAAGCAUCUUAUCCCCCUUGAUUUGUGACCUACAACCUUACAAUCAAUGUUUUAACAGCGAACUAACAUGGGCAUGUACACUUCAUAAAUAUGUGAUGCGAUCAGCAGUAAACCAUGUAUUUUCUAAACUGAUUAGAACAGCUCAUUGUCAAUCUUUCAAAAAAUUAGCGCACAACAGGGUUCAUAUUUAGAAACCAAAAUGUAUUGCUGCAAUGGAGAUCAAUACUAUUAUUACUGGCUGUUGUCGUGUCUAUGUAAUAUGACCAGUAAUAGGUCCUUGUAAUUGCCAGAGGUGAGGGUUGUGGUGAAAAGAGAGGACAUUGUAAGCAAAUAACCCCUUGCCAUGAAAUGUGAAUUAAAGUGUGAUUAAGGGAGGAGAAACAAUCAAUACCUAUUAAUGAGUGUUGUGAGUUGUACUCAACUAGGUUAUUAGACCCGGCCGGUACACGCCUGGAUUGUGGAUUUGUUGUGUCAAUCCCAGAGCAAUAUUGUUUAAAGUUUUUUGUUUUUUUAAAAAACAAAUAAAACAAUGAUGUUUUGAAUAAAAAUUAAAAAAAAAAUUCUUAGAAUUAACCCGAUAGGUCUCACCUAGGUUUGGUCAAGUUAACUAGAUCAAUCGAGUUCAACAAGGUCAACCUCCAAAUAAAUUUAAAAUAAAACCUGGCUUGGGCAUGACUAUAAGUGACUGAGUCACUAGGUGAACUUCUUGGGCCAUAUUUUAUAACUAUGGUACUCAAUAAUCAAUGAAUAUUAGAUAUGAGUCAAAACGCAUUAUUUAGCGAGUUUGGUUGGUGAUAUAACCACUUUAUAAGAACAUAAAGGUUUUGAGUAGCCAGAUAUAAACUUGCCACCAACGAAUCAUAUAAACAGCCUAGAAAAAUAUAUUUAUGGACUAGUGGGUAAGCUAAAUUUAAAAAGAGGUCUGGUUGCACACACCAACAACCUAAAAAUAAAAAAUAAUAAUUUUCAAUUCGAUUGUUGGAUUAGGUUUAAAUAUUUUCAGGUGAUUCUCAAGGCCUAAUUCUACUAUAAAGUCAACACACUUACACUAGCCCUUUUCUGGAAGACCUCCAGAUUAGGCUCUAAAGAUACUGUUUGAGCAAAUUUUUUAUUUUUCCUUGAGUUGUUUGGAUUUUAUGUUAUUUUUGGAUUUUUUUACUAGUUUUCCAUUUAGUUUGGGAUUAUGGCUUUUUUUCCUUGUUAAUGUUAAUUUCAGGCCUAUUUAAAGAUUAGUAAACCUUCUUGAAAGGCAAAACUUAUUAGACUUUUCUUUCAUAAGUGAAACUAUAAAUUAGAAUUCUUGUUAUGUGUUGUGAUGUCGCGGUCGCACAAAUUAAUUAUCCUAGCUUCAAACAUAACACACAAGAUAGUAUAGAGCAAGCAAGGAGUUGAUCCCACGAGGAAGGUUCAAGUCAGAUUUUUAUGCUAGAUGAUAUGCAAUUUAGGGGGGGUUGAAUGUUAUCUAGGCUAAAACAAAAGAAAACAGAAAACUAUCAAACGAAAUUUAAUAAAAUCAGAAAAUUAUCAAGAGAACAAACUUUGGUCGCAAGCACAAAUCCACCUACAGAAAUCAGAACUGAUCAUGGAAACGAAACAUCAAUUUAUAUUCUGAGUAUUUAUCUCUUCUUAACAUUGGUUAGUUAACGGAUCCGCCGUAUAACUAACCAUAACCAUCAAAUAACCAUAGUGUCCGCACUAGUAAUUUAAUUCAAUGGCAGCUUUAAGAACUAGAUAAGUUGAUUAAUCAAGAAAACAUAACUGUCCGCAGUCUAUGUUUGAUUUGAUUGAAUGUUCUCCCUAAGAUUAAUAACGUAGAUCUGCCAUAAUUAUUAAACUCAGUUGCUUCACAAGUUCAUAUACCACAACUCCGGUUUUGAUAUCAAACUUAGCAAUAGAUUGUCUACAAUAAUAACUUAGAGUCCGCUCUAGCAAUUAAAAUAAACAAUCAUAGAAAAAAUAAGCAUAGAAGAACAAACAUAUUCAUCAUAUAAACUGAAAAGAAAGGUAAAAUAAAUCUCACAGUUCUUGAAAUUCGAAGAUUUCCGUGUCCUUGCAACCAAGAAAACGAGUUUAGCCUUGCAUAUUUGUUGAACAACUAAUAAAAAAGAAGGAGGAAUGCAUGAUUUCGGGUUUCUUAGAGGAGGGGGGCAUUUUUCUCCUCUUGGUUGGCUGCCCCCUCUUCUCUUCUCUCAUUCUUUUUAUAUCCUAGAAAGCCCUAGUCUCUAUUUUACAAAAUAGUCAUCCCUUAAGUAAACAGUUUACAUUUAAGUAGUUCAAUAACUAUUUUCCUAAAAAAAGAGAAAUAGUCUUGCAUGAAAUCUUCAAGUUUUGACUUAGAGGAGCUAAAUUGCUGAAAUAAAAACUUGGAUGUUGGUUUAGAUGCUUCGAAACGUAAUUUGGACUCGUUUUUUCACGAAACCUGUUUGCUGGCAGAAUUCAGUUGUCAUCUUUGAAAAAUUUUAUCUCCUUCAUGACAUCGUUUUUUGCUUAAAUUUGGAGCGUUGAUAUUUCUUUGAAUCAGGAAUCCAAAAAAAUUGAGUUUGCAUCAAUUGGACUUCUGUAGCUCCAGAUAUUCAAGUCGUAAUGGCCGAAGGUCAACACUAUCAGAUUGCAAGAUUUGACUUUGAAGGCUGUGAUUUCCAUGCUCUUUCUUAUUUUAUUUUCUUCCCUUAAAUGUCUAGAAAGGUAUGGAUGUUAGCUUUUUAAUGCCACUGGAAUCACUUCAUUUCGACCUUCAAAGCUCACGCUCUGCACAAAACAUCGACUAAAGGUCAAAUCUGUCAAUUACCUCUAAUUUACUCCUUUUUGCAUCUUUCAUCCAAAAGUGCCUUCAAAACAUAAAACAAAGUAUAUGAAGGCAUUUUAUAUAUAAAACAUAGGUAAACAGUAGUUAAAUAUGGGUGAAACUAUCGAAUAAUAUGGUUGCAUCAUUAUGCUAGUCCUAUUUUGUCAAACUAGAUUUUUCUUGUUGUUGUCUUCAUUGAUUUUUUGUUUAUGUCUACAUGAGUUGGCAUUAAAACCCAACGAUCCCUAGUUAUUUUCUUGUUUUGUGCUAUUAAACAACCACAACUGGAAGGGGUCUUUAGUAGAAAGAGAUAAAUGAGGUUCCUUUUUAGAAGAGAAAAGUUAAGGAUGUGGUGAUAGAGAAUAUACACAGGAAAAUCAUAGAGCUUACCCAAUAGUUAGUAGAAAGGACCAAAACCCAUUCCAAAGGCAAGAGUUGAGGAGGUAGCCUCUCGAUCAUGUAGAACAUCAUAGAGAUUUUGAAUUUUUAUUAUUAAAAUUCCUGAUUUUGCAAAAACUUUACAUGCAGAGGAGUUCAUAGAUUGGUUUAACUAGGUUGAAAGAAUUUUUGGAUAGAAGGAGGUUCCUAAAUAGAUACGAGUCAUAUGAUUACGGUUAUAUUUAAGGGUCAUGCUUCUGCCUAGUGGAAACAAUUAAAGAAGACAUGAGAGAGAUAAGAGAAACUAAGAAUCAAUUAUUAGGAAACAAUAAAUAAGAAGAUAAAAGGACCCUUCUUUCUUUUAUGGCUAUGCACAAACCUUGCAUCAAUGUUUCGCAUGCUGAAAUAAGAUGGUAAAUCCCUUAACAAUUAUACUAAUGAUUUUUAUCAAUUAAUGGCAAGGAAUAACUUGGUAAAAAUGAAAGAUUAGCUAGUGACGAGGUAUUUAAGUGGUUUAUGGUAGUCUAUCCAAGAUGUGUUGGGCCUUCAAUCCCUAUAUAUAGUAUCAGAGGAAUAUCAAAGGGUUUUGGUGGUAGAGAAACAAUAGGCUGUUACGACAUUUAGUAAAAAUUUUUGGAUGGAUAAGUACAACUGAGGAGGACACAACAAUACUAAGAGGUCAACCACCCCCUACCUAUACCUACUUAGCAAACUCAAGUGAUAAUAGGUUAGGGUUUUGGUUAAACUUUUAGAAUUUGUUGUUAUAAGUGUGGUGAAUUAGGGCAUUGUGUUAUUAAGUGUAGUAAACUAUUGAGUAACCUGUAAAUGAUAUGGCUUAUUCUAUUCAUGAUGACUCAGAUAGUAGUGGGGAGAUUAUGCGUGGAGAUAAUAUUGCUACCCUAGUCAUUCAAGAAAGUCUACUUACUCUUAUGGGUGAUUCAGGUGAAGAUUGAAGGUUCACUAGCAUCUUUCACUAGAUGUGAACCAUAAAUUAUAAGGUUUAUAACCUAUUUAUUGAUAGUGGUAUCUAUAAGAAUAUGAUGUCUUUGGAGAUAGUGAGGAAGGCCUAGCUAAAAACCAAGAGCCACAUUAAGCCCUACAAAUUGACUUGACUUAAUAAAGCACUAAGGUAAUUAUAGAUAAACUUUGUGUUAUUGGUGUGAUGUGUUGUUAAUGGAUGUGUGCCAUCUUUUGUUGUGAAGGCCUUAAUAUUUUGAUAGGAACAUUGUGCAUUAUAGGCAAAAUAACAAAUACACUUUCAAUAUUAAGGGGAAAUGUAUAGUAUUAGAAUUUAUAAAGGAAAGGGUGGAGAUGAAAACUAAUAAGGGAAAUAGUUUGCAAUCCUUGUCACAAUUUAUAGAGAAGGUUAUCGCUACACACGACACGAGUAAGGCUUUGAAAUGUCCAUCAAAAGAGUCUUGGAAACAUUUUGAAGUCUCCAUUAGUUUUCAAGGAGACUUUGAAUCUCAAAGUAUGAACUAGUUUAAAAAAUUCAAGUAAGGGAUUGUUUAUACAUAAGAGAAAAAAAAUACUUACCAUUUCCUUUCAAACGAAAGGUUACCUUCGCCAUGUGUUUUUAUAAAUUCAUUUUAUAUAUGCCAUCAAUUUUCUAAUUAUUUCUGAACUUAUUUGUAAGUUAUUUAUUAUUGAUGGAUGGUCAUUAAGUUAGCAUCAGACCCUGCAUCAACAGUCUCAUAACUUCACAAAUUCUUGUGAAAGAAGAUGAAAUUAUAGUUGUGUACUAAACCUAUGUUGGUAUCUAAGUUCAAGAAAUUCAUCUACUCAUUUUAAACUUAUUUUGAGGUUAAAAAUAUCGUGUUAGGCCUAUAUUGGUACCUAUAACUAGAAGACAUGUUGACCUAAUUGUUAAAACCCAAGUUUUAUCCAACCAUAACGCUAACUUGAUGAAAAUUCAUAAGUUGAUUCAAAGCCAAUAAAAAUAAAAUAAUAUAUGAGUGAAUAGUAAUAUAUUUCCAAAAAUAAAUAUGUACAUUCAUAUGUAUAUGUAAAAAGAUGAAAGAACAUUUUUACAAAACAAAGAUAACGUGAAAGCGAAGUCAAUGAAAAUAAAUUAAAAUACAUGAAUAAAUAGUAAUCAUGCUUGAAUAGUGGAAUAUAUAUUAUUUGUGUUUUGAAUUAUAACCUACUUUCAAAAAUGAAUUUUUACAUAUACAUGCAUAUGUAAAAAGAAAAAGCACAAUUUUAUGAAAUAAAACUAACAUGAAUGCGAAGACAAUAAAAUAAAAAUGCAUGGAUGAAUAAUAACCAUAAAUGAAUAAUGUAAUGUGCAUUAUUUGGCAUUUUCAACUGUAAAAUCUUUACAAGCCAUAAUAAAGAAUAAGAUAAGAAGUAAAAUAAGAUCAAGCUCACCUUAUAGGUGAUUUUAAGUGAGGAAGGGGGUGUUGUGGUUGGUUAUACUGGUAGAGAUGAUGUUGGUGCUACCAGCGGAGGGGUUUUCAAGUAGUUUUUCUUACAAGAGUCCAAUGAGAAACUUACUUUUUUUUUCCUUUUUCUAUCUCUUUUCUUUCUCUCAUUCUUUCUUACAUCUUAACUCACACAAACUCAAUUUUUAGGUUAAUAAGCUUAUAUUUUUCUUCUAUCUCUCUCUUUAGGUUUCUCAUUUUGUUUUUCUUUUGUUUCAUUUGUUUUUCUCUUUUACCACCUAAACCAAACUAAUUUCAAAAACUCAGCUCAAAACUCUUUUUUCUCCUUUCUCUUUAUUGUUACCUAUUUUUAGGUCCUCACAUAAAAAAAGAGAAAAAAAAUAUAAAAAACAGAGAGGAGGAGAGAACGAAAGAAAAGGAAGAAACAAAGAUAAAAAAAGAGAGAAACAAAAAAAAAAUGAGAUAGAAAGAGAAGGAAAAACAAAAUAAAAGAGAAAAACAUGGGAAAACAUGGGAAAACAAAGGAAGAAAAGAAAAACAGAGAAGAUGAGGGAACAAAAAAUAGAGAGGAGGAAGAAUAGAAAAAAAAACAAAAAAAAAGAAAGAAAAAGAAGAAACUUGUGCCUCUGCACAGAAAGAAAAAACAGCAGCAACGAUCAUUUUUUUCCCUAUCGCCGCUGGAACCACCGUCAUUUUGCCACCAACACCACCAACACCACCGCCAGGUUAGCCUCCCCUUCUUCUUCUUCUUCUUCACUUCACCCCCUGCCAGCUCCACUGUUUACGUGAAUAAUGGAGAGCCAUUGUUCCUGGAUCAGACCAGUGUCGGCCCAGACCAAAACGUCUGGGCUAGUUCCCUUUAAGUAAAGUCUAUUGGGCCAACAUCAGCCCAACCCUUUUUUUGAGCCGUUAUUGGCUCAACCCCUUUUUGGGUUGAUCUCGGCCCAACCAGGAUGGGCUCAGCCCAUAUAAUUGGGCUGGGUCCAACCCAAUAAUAAUAAUAAUAUAAUAAUAUAUAAUAUUAUAUUAUAUAUUAAAUACAAAAACAAACAAAAAAUUUCUAAAAAUUCCAAAAAUCCUUUCAAAAAAUUUGUGAUUUCUCGCGUAUUUUUUUACCGAUUUUGAUUAAUAUUGGUUUGUAUUUUUAUACUGUAAAAAUACAAAUCUGGUAUUAAAAUACCUGAUUUUCUCUGAAAUGUUGCAAUAUAUAUAUAUAUGGAAAAACACAAAAAAUAUCUUGUUUUUAUGCAUACGGCCAAUUCUCUCAAAAUAUAUAUAUAAAAAAAAUAUCUCAUAUCGUAUUUUCAUGCACAAUAAAAUUUAAAAAAAAUGUGUUAGCAUUCAUUUUGAGCUUUAAUAACCAGUUUAAUAAAGCCAUGAGAACUAGGCCUAUAUUUUAAAAAUACCGAAAAAAAUAUUUUGUUUUCUUUUAAUAUCUAGAAUUAUGAACUUAUACGUAAGAUGUAUUCUCAAUAUUAAAUAAAAGGUAGUUCUUUUUUGUUGACAUUGGAACGGUUAGAUUUUUACCCAAUAAGAUAAGAAUCUUUUUACCGAGGAGGACUUUUCUUAAACCUUAGACAGACUAACAAUUAGAAAACACAAUGAUACUCUAGUUAUAUCAGACAAUCAAACAAUGUAGCUCACCUUAAGUAAGGCGUAUUAGAGGUGUUAAUACCUUUUCUUUACGCUACGAGUCCUCGUGCCCGAUCUCUGAAACCAGUUAGGAUUCCUAGUAACCAAAAGACUAGGUGGCAACUCUAAUUCCCUCUUUCCACUGAUAAAGAAAAAGAAUUCCUUGUCCUGUCCAUUUCCCCACACCACAUACUACAACAUGGAUAUUCAAAAAGGAUGUUCGCCGCGACACUGCACCAUGACAUGCGACACUAUUUAUUUAGCAUUUUCACUUUUUAAUUAUGGGUCUAUCUUUCUUCUGUAUUUAAAGCGAGGGGGAAUGCUUCUAUAAGCUCCACUAGUUGACUUGAUCGGGAACAUUAGUUUAUUACGAUGAAUCUUAACCCUAUAGGUCACCUUUUUAUUGGAAAAAGCUUGAAUGACUGGCUUGCUUUAUCAUUCUUUCGUGGUGGUUUCAUGAGCAUUUUUAAUAUGGGGAUAAACUAUGGUGAGAGAAGGUAUGUAAUGGAAGAAAAUGGAUGGGCGAUACUGAUACGAACCCCAAGGAUAUACAUAUUUAGAAACCCACAAUCAAAUUGACUUUGCCUAAAAAAGAUAAAUUUAGGCUUAUGAUUGAGCUUAACACAAUGAUAACAUGUGCCAAGGCACCAAGAUUAUAAGUAACCAACCAUUAACCAACGCAUAUGAAGAGACGUGAAAGAGAAGUAUAAAAGAUGUCAGGAAACUUGGUUAAUUCUUUGAUAAAUUAUAGUUCAAUGAAAAACCAAAAACAAAUAUGAGCAAAACCUCUCACACACUAUAAUAAUUCUUGAAAUUAAAGUCUGUAAAAAAAACUUAAAUACAAGCUAAAUAACCCUAUUUAUAAUAGGUAAAAAUAUCCUAAAAAAUUCUGAAAAAAAAUAUUAAAAGAAUGUGAAAAAUAAUCAUAAAUCAAUUAGAAAAGUAAUACAAUUCUCACACAUUAGCUUCUAGACCUUAUCGUAAGGCCUUCUUGAAGCUCGAUUUCCCUAAAAUAUUAACCCAAUAUAGAACAAGAUCUUUAGAAACUUCUGGUAAAAUUUUACCCCAAUCCAAAGGUCAAAUUGAAAAUUAUUCUUAUUAGGGUAAAAAAUAUGCAUUAUGAAAAAUAAGCUCAAAACUGCCUCUAAUAUUGAAAUUAAUUAGCUCACCAUUGCAAAAUAAUUAGGCAUGUGUUAUAGAUGGAUCAAGCCUCUCUUGUACAUAGAUUAAAUUGAUUAAGGCCUGAUCAUCACUUAUUGAAGCUAAAGACUUCUUAAAAUUCAUCUUGGCUCAAAUACUCCGAAUAAACCCAUUGAAUGCAUAUUUGAGCUUUUUUUGCCUUUAAUCUUCCAAUUAGACCAAUUGGAACUUGCAAUGGAUCUUUUGGUGUAAUCUUGAUCAUAUCAUCCCCUUUCUCCUCAAAAUAAUUCAUCCAUGAAUUAUCACCUACGUCAGACAAAAAGAGAUUAGAAAUAUUAAAUGUAACACAACACCAUCCUCUCCUAGUAGAUCCUCUUUGCAAGAAUUGUAAUUAAUUCUUUCAAGGAUUUGAAAUGGUCAAUCUCCUCUUGGUAUCAAUUUAGAUCUUCUUUGUUCAGGAAAUCUUUCUUGUUUUUAUAUUCACUCAAACCCAAUCACUUUGUUAAAAAAUAACCCUAUUUCAUCCUUUAUAGCUUUGAAUACAUAUUGCUCAUUCUUUUUUGUAUUUCUCAUCUCACAUUCUCAUAGAGAGCCUUUAUUACAUGUGUUUUUUUAUUGCCAUCAAGACUGACCUUUUUAUUAAUAGGUAAAGGAAACAAAUUCAAAGGAUUAAAGCCAUAAAUAAUUUUAAAAAAAGAAUAAUAAGUAGUAAAAUACACUGUUAUUAUAAGAAAAUUUAGUAAAUGACACACAAUCUUUCUAAUUUUUCAAAUUCUUUUGAAUAAUAGUUCUUAACAAUGUAGUUAAAGUCCUAUUAACUAUUUUAGUUUGACCAUUUGUUUGUGGAUGACAAGUAUUAAAAAAUAAUAAUCUUGUUUUUAAUUUUCCCUAUAAAACCUUCCAAAAGUAGUUUAGAAAUUUAACAUCAUGGUUAGACGAAAUGCUUAUAUGUACCUCAUGAAACCAAACUAUUUUUCUAAAUAAUAAAUUUGUUAUGUUAGUUGCAUCAUCGGUUUAUGAUAAAAUAUCAAAUGUGUCAUUUUAGAAAACUUAUUCACAACAGCAAAAAUAUAAUCCUUACUUUUUUUUUUAUUUGAGCAAACCUAAAAUAAAAUCCAUAGAUAUAUCAAUCCAAGGUUCAUUAGGCACUGGUAAAGGAGUAUAUAAACCAUGAGACAAGACUUUAGACUUAACUUAUUUACAUGUUAUGCAUCUAUCAUAAAUUCUUUACGCAUCUCUUUUCAUCUUAGGCCAAUAAAAUUGCUCGUGCAAAAUAUCUAAAAUCUUAGCAACCACAAAAUGUCCCAUUAAUCUACCCUCAUGAUCUCCAUAAAUUGUCAAUUCAUGUGUAGAACAAUUAGCUUUCCUUGGCCUAUAAGAUAUUUCAAUAACUGAUGAUCAGUAUGGAUAACGGACUUCUUAGACCACAACUAAUGUUGUCAAGUUUUCAAAGUUCUUACCAAAGCAUAAAACUCUUUAUUAUAAGUAAGAUAAUUCAAUGUUGCACCAUUGAGCUUUCAACUAAAAUAAGCUAUGAGUCUUUUUUUUCUGCAUUAAAACAGCUCCAAUACAUCUGAGGCAUCACAUUCAAUCUUAGAAGUUUUCAUUAAAUUAGGCAACGAUAAAAAUGAAGCCAAAAUUAUUUUUUCCUUUAAUAAAUUAAAAGCAUGCUUUCUUCUAUACACCAUUUAAAACACAUAAAUUUCUUAACUAUCUUAGUUAAGGUUAUGGUUAGAGUAUUAAAAUCCUUAAUAAAUCUCCUAUAAAAACUAGUCAAACCAUGAAAACCUCUUACUUUAAUGAUUGACUUAGAUGUAGGCCUUGAUAGUUUUAAAUCUUUCCUCAGCCAUAUCAAUAUCGUUUGCACUAACAUAUCCAAGAAAUACAAUCUUUUCCAUGCAAAAGUUAUACUUUUUUAGAUUAACAUCUAAAUAUUAUUUUCACAAAAUAACAAUACAUUCCUUAAAUGUUCAACAUGCUCAUCUAAAUGCUUUCUAUAAAUCAAAAUAUCAUCCAAAUAAACCAUAAAAAACUUUGCUAUAAAAUUACGCAAAACAUGAUUCAUCAAUCUCCUAAAAGUAGUAGGUAUAUUAGUAAGUCUAAAAGUCAUAACUAAGCUCUCAUAUAAAUCAUAUUUAGUUUUAAAGGUAGUAUUCCAUUCAUCUGCCUCUUUCAUUCUUAUUUGAUAAUAUCCACUUUUCAAAUCAAUCUUAAAAAACAUAUAAGACAUAUGCAAUUCAUUUAACAUAUCAUCAUGUUUAGGAAUUGGAUGUCUAUACUUUAUCAUAAUAUUGUUGAUGACAUGAAAAUCAAUACAUAUUCUCUAAGUCCCAUCCUUUUUAUGGUAUUAACAAUAUUGGAAUUACACAUGGACUUAUGCUUUCUCUUAUAUACCCUUUUGUCAUCAAUUCUUCCUCUUUCCUUUGAAGUUCAUUUGUCUCCUCGGGAUUACUCCUAUAUGCUGACCAAUUCAGUAUAGAUGCUCUAGAUACAAAAUCAAUUUGGUGCUCAAUUCCCCUAAUAAGUGACAACCCACUAGGAAACUCAUCAGGAACGAUGUCCUUAAAAUCAUAUAAUAAAAAAACACAAACAGUAGGAAUACAAUGAUUGAGGUCAUUAAUAUUAAAAUCAUACACAAGUAAAAUUAUAGGCAUGUUAUAAAAUAAGCAUUCUUAAUCUCACUUCUCUUUGCAUAAAACCUAACAUGUUUCAUUUUUUUUUUUGCACACUCUCUUCAUUUAUCACACUUUUUUUCUUCUCUCCUCUUUUGGGUGAAUCCCUAUUAAUUCCUAUUUUGGCCUAUCUAACCUUCUUCUCUCCCAGCUUAUUUUAUUUUCACUCUUUCUUAUAUCCUCACAUGGUUGAUCAUUUAUUUUGGUCUUCAUAAACUUGUCUAAGAGACAAUAGUACAAGUGUGUAUGUCUUCUUAUCAUUUUUAAAGGAAUAAUUGUUCUUAAACCUAUCAUGCUUGGUUUUCUUAUCAAAUUUCCAAGGUCUCCCCAACAAUAAACAACAAUAAAUGAGUAGCGAUACACGCUACUCAUUUAUUGUUGGGGAAUAUGAUCUCCUUUUGUUGCUUUACAUGAUCCUUAUAUUUAAAAAAAAAACAUUACUUACUUAGUAACUCUUAUUUCUCCACAAUCAUUUAACCAUUGAAAUCUAUAAGGCCUUUCAUGUUUAAUAGUUUUCAAACUCAAUUUUCUAACAAGAAUAGUACUAGCAAUAUUAGCACAACUUCCAUUGUCAAUAAUCAUACUACAUACAUUAUUAUUUAUGUGGCAUCUAGUAUGUAAUAUGUUCUCCUUUUGUUGCUUUACAUCAUCCCCUUUAAUAUGUGUAUUAAGUGAUCUUAUAUUCAUCAAAGUCUCUCUAUUAAUUGGAUACUCAAUAUCACUAUAGUUCUAAAGUGAUAGAAUCUCUUCCUCUUGGAUUUAACACUUUCAGAUUCAAUGUCCCCAUGCUUCUUCAUAAUCAUAAUCCUUUUAUUUGAACAUUGUGAAGCUAUAUCAUCACUCUUGAAACACCUAAAACACUUAUAUCACAAUUAUGAUUAGAUGGGAUCUUAGCUUUACCUUUUAUUUUAGUGGUCAAAUCUUUCCUCCAAGCCUUAGAUGGUUCAUCUUUGUUGCCCACGGUAUUCAACUUUGAUGAGGCACCCCUUCUCUCCUAUAAUUCAACCUACAUGCUGAAAAUGAGUCCAAAUUACCUCUUUGACAUGUAUUGCCCUUUCUUUUCAACUGUCUCUCUAUAUUGGUAGCUAUAUGAACCAUAUCUUCUAGUUCAACAUAGUGCUACAACUCAACCAUAUUAGCUAUUUCUCUAUUUAAUCCAUUCAAUAACCUUGUCGUUAUAGCUUUUCUAUCCUCUAUAACAUUAGCUUUAAUAAUGACAAUCUUCACUUCCUUGUGAUAAUCUUUUAUUCUCUUAGAACUUUAAGACAAACUCUACAAUCUUUGAUAUAGUUCCCUAUAAUAAUGACCAGGAACAAAUAUAUUUCUCAUGAUGGCUUUCAUCUCAUCCUAAUUAUCUAUAAGUAUCUUUUUGUUCCUCCUCUUUUCCAAGACAAGUUGAUCCCACCAAACAAUAACAUAGUCAGUAAACUCAAUAACAAUAAGUUUUACUUUCUUUACUUUACAGUAAUACUGAUAGUAAAAAAGUCAAUUCCACUUUCUUUUCCACUCCAAAUAAGCUUCAGAAUUGUUUUUGCCUUGAAAAGCCAUACUCAUCAACUUAAUACUACCCAAAUCUCUAUCCAAAUCAUCCCAAAAUCUAUCUUUCCUAUCUACUCUUUUAUGGCUGAAUUGCUCAAGUAGUUGAACUCCCAUAGGCCUUUGGUUUCUAUAUGAUUGAAACCUAUCAUUGUGGUUAUCAUCAAAAUUCUUGGCCUUCUCAUAUGUAUUUUAAGCUAUAGAUUCUUCUGGAGGUGAAUUAGCUCAUCUCCCAAAUCUUCUUCAUUCCAAACCCUUAUGGUUUAUCCCAUCAUGAACACUAGCCAUUGUGGUUCUCAAACUAGCUAUUUCACUCAUUACUUUGACAAACUUUGUAUUCAUUAACUCCAAUUAUUAUUGCAUGACCAAAUAACCCCAUUUAAGAUUGUUCCUAUAUUUUAGUGGUGAUGAUCUACUUCUCUCAUGUUUCACAAAUUUGCUUUUGCUUCUCACUUUAAUUUGCUCACAUUUGCCUUGUAUCACUCAAUUCUUAAGAUUUUGGUUUUUUUAAGGAACAAGUUCAUAAAAAAUCAAAGAUUAAUAUCUUAAUAGUGUAAUAAAAUAAUAUAAAGACUUGAGAAGGAAUAAAGACUGAAAACAAUCAAUAUAAAACUACAAAUAUAAAAUCAUGAAUACCAAUACAAACUCGUGUAAAAUAUGAACAAUAUGAAGACAAGAAAAAAAAAAGAAUACAAAGAAUAAGAAACUAAUGGAAUAAGAUUUAAACAACUCAAAAUAACAAAGCACUUUCAAUUUGUUAUUUUACAUAUGGUGGCUGAAACCUAAAAAAAAAAAAACAAUGACACAAUAACUAGUUUUUUUUUUUAUAUAGUUUUCAAGAAAAGAAAAACUAAGUAAAUCUAAAAUACUCAAAAUCAAGAGUUAUCUCCAAGAAACCCCAAGAAUCAAGAUUUUUUUUAAAUUUAAAAUAAGCGGCUGAAUUCUAUAUUUCUUAAAUCAAGAUUUGCGGCAAACCCUAAAAAAAUAUUUUCUUAUGAUUUUUCUUUGUUCUUUUUUUAUAAAACUUUAUUUAAUCAAGAUUGCAAAUAAUUUCUCUUUUAACUUGAUGCCACAACUAGUUUUUACGAAAGAUAAAGAACUUAGUAACAAUGGAGUAAAUGGAAAUUUAAAGAUAAAAGGGAUAUAACCUGAUUUAAAGCCUUACUCUGAUACCAAUUGAUGCAAAUCUCAUAGAUAUAAAGAUCUAGAAAUCUACAGCCAAUUUGACCCUUUCCAAGAAAGUUAAAUUUAGGAUCACGAUUGAGUUUGACACAACAAUAACCUGUAAAAAGGUACCAAGAUUUUAAGUAACCACCCCUACCCAACAUCUAUUAAGAGACAUGAACAAGAAGUAUGGAAGACACCAUAAAACUUGAUUAAUUCUUUGAUAAGUUAGAGUAGUUCAAUGAAGAACCAAAAAGUAUGAGCAAAACCUCACAUAUACAAUAAUAAUUGCCGAAAUCAAAGUCUAUCCCAAAAAACCUAAAUACAAGCUAAAUAACCCUUUUAUAAUAGGUAAAAAUGUUCUAAAUAAUGUUAAAGAAAAAUAAUAUAAUAUUUCUAAAUAAAAUAGGAAAACAAAUCCUAAAUCAAUUAAGAAACUAAUACAAUUCUCAUAUAAUGGCUUCUAGACCUUAUUGCAAAGCCUUUCCGAUGUCCAAUUGCCUUGAAAUGUUAAUAUAGAAUAAGACCUGUGAAAAAUUUUGAUCAAAUGUUAGCCCGAUCCAAUAGUCGGAUAAAAAAUUAUUAUAGUUAGAGUAAAGCUAUGUAUUUGAAACAAUAAACCAAAAAUACUUUUAAUACUGAAAUUAAUUAGCCCACCAUUAAAAAAUAAGUACGCCUACAUUAUAGAUAGAUUAGGCUCGUUUUGCACAUAUAUUAAAUUGAAUAAGGUUUGAUCAUCACUUGUUGAAGCUGAAGCUUCUUUGAAUAACUUGACCCAAAUAGUCUAAAUAAGCUCAUUGAAUGUAUUUUUGAGUUUUUUUGCCCUUGAUCUUAUAAUUAGACCAAAUAGAACUUGCAAUGGAUAUUUUAGUGUAUUCUUAAUCGUAUAAAAUAAUGUUAGAAAUAGGAAGAAGGAAGUGCAGGCAUGCACCAAAAUGAUGUCGUUUUGGUGCAUGUCUUUUUUAUGUUCUUUGGAAAAAUGAUGUCAUUUUGUGUAAAUUGUGGGAAGUUUUUUUUUAAGUUAGUCCUCUAAGUUUUUACAUAUUUUUUUAUUUUGGUCAUUUGAUUUUUAUUUUUUAUUUUUUAUUUUCAUGGCUAAUUACACUUUUUUUCUAUGAAUUUCUUUUAAUUUAGUCUUGAAUUGCACAUUUUUAUAGCCCUCUCAUUCCUCCACCUCUUCCAAUUUGGUCUUUGGAUUUUUAUUCUAUCAUGUUUAGCCCAUUACACCUCUUUUCUCAUUACUUCUUUUAAUUUCAUCCCUAAUUACACAUUUCUUACUUUUUUAUUUUUAUUCUUACAAUCUUCUCAUGCUUAUGCUGUUAUGGUAGCUUCUCAAAACCAUGACAUUCAAGUCUUACUUGCAUUGUCUACUCUCACUAUCCAUCAUUUCUUACUUUAUCCCUAUUUUUACUUGAAAGAUGAUAAUUGUUCCUAAACUAUGAUCUUUUACCCCCCACCAAAACAUUUGUCCUUCUUUUAUUACAUCAAGUCUUCUUUAAUUACCAUUGUUAUGAUUUUUUUGAAAAUAUCAUUACUUUGCAUGAUUUAGAGAUUUGAUUGGCACAUGCUAAACAUUAUUUAAUUUGUAUUUAAAAUUAAGAGAUUAUCUCGAUGUAAUAUUAAAGCACCCUACUUUUGAAAAAGCAUAAUAUGUCAUAGUCGCAAACCAAAACACAUCUUUUAAAACAAAUUGAUGCAACCUUCCUAAAAUGUUUUCAAGAGAUUGAAAAUUUUAGUUUUUUAUGUAAAAAGAAGGAUGACCUAUAUGAUAAGGUGGUCUUUUAAAUUAGCUUUUGUCUAUUGUUUGCUCGAGCAAAAUAGGAAUGCAUAACGGUUACCAUAAAAAAUGUAUAUGCACCUAGGAUUCUAAAUGCAUUAGCACAACAAAUAAUGGCAAGUAACAUAACCAUUUUGAAGAAAAUCCUCAUAGCUGUUGUCUUUUCUUGAUAUGUUGUGAGUGAAGUGUUUUGGCCUAGAUGUUUUGUAAUUUUUGUUUGCUUUUGUUAUGGGUGAUUUGUUAUAGCCUAAGAUUUCACUUGGAGCUCUAUUGAUGUUUUGCAAUUUUCAUUUGCUCCUAGUGUGAAGGGUGAUUAUAGUCAGGUUUUUUUGCAAAGAAUUUUCUUAGGCUUAAAAUAGGAUAGUAAAGGAUAUAUUUUGAUUAGAAACCAAAGAAGGUCUUUUAUCAUUUCAAACUCAAAAUACCUGAAUUGAUAAGUCUUGACCUUGUUUGGCAUAAUAUAUUCAGACAUGCACAUAAAUGUUUAUCACAAGUCCUUAAAUAUUGAACUUACCAUACAUUAUUACUAAUAAUGUCAAUGUAAGAUAUAUAUGAUAUGCAAGGAAAAGAUGAGCUUUGAAAAACAUUUUAUUUUUUUUUGUUUUUUUUUGUUUUUUUUUUUUUGUGUGGCCAUUGAGGGGUGGGUUAUCUCUUUCCAUUCAUACAACAUGUUUCACAAACGUAAGCAUUUUAUAAUAAAUUUGUCAUCCGCCCCUCCGAGAUGGUGGAAUGAGAUGCCAAAUUCUACUUCUAAAGAACAUUGAGUUAUUUUUUAAAAUCAAUAUGUAAUUUAGUUUUAUCUUGGUAAGAACCAUUAACUUAUCAAUAAGAUCAUGCAAUGCGUAGAUGGUAGUUUUUACUUAUAGUUUUAAAGGUUUACUCUGAGAAUAAGCAAGAAAAUGAAAAAUUAAGACAAGAGAAAUAAAACACAUGUGAAGAAAUAUUUGGCAUGAAUUUCUUUUUUUAUUGCUUUGGAUGGGUCAGUACAUUCAUGUAUAAUACUUAUUUACAGAAUAUAAGUUUAUAGAAAAUGAGUGCUCUACUUGAAAAAGCUUUAUUAAGCAUAUAAGAACCUUCAUAUAUGGGUUCCCAUUUUCUCAAAAGUUCUCUUAGUAUUGGGAGAAUCUUCUUUAUGUUUGAGACACCUUUUCUAAAUUCAACCAAGAAUUAAAGGAUUCAUUCUUGGUUUCUAUCCUUAGUUGUUUACUAUAGGGUAUUUGAAUUGAUGAUUACACAUCUAUAAUCAUGUUAAUACGUGUUACUUAUUUUGUAUUUGGAAUAUCAUUCUUAAUGUUGCGAGUAAGUUAGGUAGGAUUAAUAUGAUUUCAUAUAGGCACAUUGAGAGUGAGUGUUGGCCUUUGGGUUCAUUUCAAUCAAUAUAAUAUGGAACGGGCUCACGUCCAUCAAUAACUCACCAUCCUUGUGGGUCCAAUGCUGAUUUUUUUAUCAAAGUGGGGAUCAAGUUGUUUUUAGGCUCAAAUCCAAAACCACUCUUUUAGUUUAAGUUUAAAAUAAAAAAAAUGUCAGUUUAUAUAAUCUCCAAGGAUAACAAACAUUUUUCUUUUUAAAACAAAUAGCAAUGCAACUUACCUUAAAUAGGAUGUAUAUGAUGAUUUUUAUCUUUCCGGUUACAUAAUUAAUCCUUUACCUAAAAAUUCUAAAAAACCAGUUAGAGUUUCCUAGUUACCAUAAAACUAGAUUGGGACUUAUUUUUAAUUUUACCUUGUUUGACCUAUAGUUCGCCAAGAUGUCUCAUGUGAGUGUUAUUCUAAAAAGAAAAUAAAUCGAAAUGAUACCAAUGUGUGUGUAGGCACACAUGUUAGAUGUUAGUACAAAGAAGAGAAUUUGCAGAAAUGAUGGAAUGUGCAAAAAUUAUGGCAAUGCGGAGAGGGAGAAGAUGAUCAUAUGGUAAUGAGUUUUUUACAUGGAAAUAUUGGUGUGUUUGUGUGUGAUUGUUGGUUGCAAAUAGUGUUUGGGGACAUAGUUUUAAUGGUGGCUAGGGAGAGAAAGGUCUUUAAAAAUGGAAGAUGUAGAUGAUGAUAUGAUGAGUAGAAAUGGUGUUUAAAAAUAGGAUACUAUUUGUUAGUUUUUUUGAGAAAGUUUGUAAACUUGUACACUGAUGACAAUAUUGUAAUAUUUAACUUUUAAGUGAUGUUUAGCUAUUAAUUCAAAUACAAUAGCAAUCCUAUAAUUUUCUUAAACUGUUUUGUUGACUUAGUUUUUGCAAACUCAAAUUAGUAUAUAAAGUGUUAUAAAUAUUAUAAACAGUGGUAUGUAAAAAUGUAAUUUCUGAAAUGAUGGAAGAAAAGUAAAAUCACAGGCAAAUCUUAGAAGAGCCUGAGUAAUUUUCCUGAAAAAAGCAGAAGAAUCAGCAUGUCAGAUAAUCAUAUGAACACCGGAAUAUAGAAUCAUCUAUUAACUUCACAUCAAAGAUCCCAUAAAACAAAUACGGAGGUUGAGCACAUCUCGAUUAGGAAAGAUUCUAUAGUAAAAGAAACAAUUCGGAGAAAGACCUCAAGAUUCUAUAGUAAUAAUUCAAUCGAAAAUCCAAAUGUUCCCAAAAACAUUUGAUAAGGGUGAAUAACAAGGUUCAUCUGCAGAGAUCACGAAAACUUAGUACAGAUAAGAUACAAAGGAUAUGAUAUAAGUUUAUUCAAUACAUCAAUAUUGUUUUACAUAGCUUAUUGUAACUUAUUACAUGAACAUCAUAUUUUUUUAAACAUGAUAUGGGCCACAUCACUGUUACACCUUAAGCUACUUCCACACUAUACGGAACACACAGGGAGAUGCUGAAAGGAAGGUCGAUCUAAAGACAGAUUAAUUUAAGGCCCCAGCAGGAGACCAUAUAUAUAAUUAUGCAAAUAACUGGAUGUCUUAUCGUAUGGUAUGAAAUCUUCACGCCUGGUGAAAUUCAUGCUUUAUUCAAUGAUCCAAUCAAACUUCACAGACCAUAUAAUUAUGCUAACUGCUGGAUUUAUUAUGUUAUGGUAGGUAAUCUUCAAGGCUGGUGAAAUUCAUGCUUUCAUCACUGAUCGAAGCUAAGAUCUUAGAGAAAGAGUUGGCUAAGGUUUUUGGAGGGUAUUGAUCUAUGCAGUUUUUCCAGACAUUUGUGUCCUCCAAGUCCUUCAUAACUUUCCACACACAAUUGUUGCACUUAAAACCUGCCCCAAGGCUGAUCAUUAGUAUUGUAUCACCCUUCUUGAGCCUUUUCUUGGCCUCCAUGUAACCUAAAACAUACCACAGGCCGCCAGAUGAUGUAUUUCCAAACCGAUAAAGUGCCAUUCUAGCUGGUUCAAGAUCAUAAUCAUUGAGAGCUAAACUCUGACCAGCCUCAUCAAUGAUUGCCCGCCCACCAGGGUGCACACAAAAGUGAUCGAUUCCAGACUUGAGAUCCAAACCAGGUCCUGCAUCCUUAGGAGUUGGCCGCUUCAUUAUUUUAUUUCGAUAAUAGCUUAUUCGAUAGCGGAGCACCUCUGACAGUGGUAUAACUUUAGGAAGAAGAACUCGGAGAUUCAUGGUUAAAGCUUUAGCACCAGCUUUAGGUAGAUCUUUGUUGAGCCGAAAGCCAUUGAUUCCAAGGUCAUCUUCUGCUUGGAAGCAGCUGUUAUAUGCUUCAUCAUUAGAGCCGAUAUGUGUGCGUACAGAACAAGUCAAUUCCAUGAGGGCUUUAAUCUUCCAAUCUCUGUUAUUUGUUAAGAGAAUGGAGCAGCCCCCAGUACGAAAUAGAAUGUUGGAGAGCAUCAUGGACUUGUCUUUUCCAGGAUACCAAUGUGAACUCAUGGAUUCUGUGCUCAUAACGAUUGCAAAUGAAUUCUUGUAUGUCUUGAACAGUUGCUUGACUAAAUCAAUGGCUACUGCACUUGCACUACAACCCAUUCCAGAGAGAUUGAAUGCCUUGAUGUCCUCCCUCAUCUUGUAACGGUUUAUUACUCGAGCUGUUAGAGAGGGAGCUGGUGAGAACAAAGAGACUGAAGAGACAAUAAUGUUGAUUUCUGAUGGAGAAACUCCUGUCUUAGCAAAGAGCUUAUCAACAGUAUCGAAAAGGAUACCAUCCAUCUCCGAAAUUUCAUCCAUAAGAGUUGCAGAUUCCUCUCUUCCUUCCAUGAUAUUUUUUGGGACAUAAGUUUCUUCACCAAUGCCAGAACUAACCGUAGUCUUUAAAAGAAACUUGUAUUCUUCUAUUCCGAGAUUCUUGUUUCGUGAAAUAAUUCUAGCACUGGAUCUAGGAUCAAGCUUCUGGUCUUCAGCGGCUUUAUGGCACUCAUAGCUUAGCAUAUAGCAACAUUGGUCUUUCUUUUGGUAUCCUAACUUAUAAAGGUUGAAGAUAAUAUAGUACAAUAACAGUGGAAGCAUUGCCAAGAACAACUCCAUAACAAAAGGAAAAGAAAAGCUAUAGAUUGGGUUUCAAGAGAUGCGGAGACUUUUACGAGGGAGUUUAUUAUCAGAACACAACUAUGGUCCUACUCUUAUACUAGAGAAAGGGUUACAUGCAAUGCCUAUGCGCAUGCAAGCAUUAGAUAAUGUUCCUCAAAAAUUGAUUGCUGGGGAAAAGAUUGAUUUCAAAAUAGGUGGGGAUUAUACAUAACUGUCUAUAUAUUUGUGCCAGUAAUUAAUGUUCAACCCCUAAAAAUAGAAAAUAGGGUAUCGUCUAUCUACAUACGAUUCACGUAGCCUAGCUAAGAAAUUGAGAGAGACAAUUAGCUCAUGAGAGACAUAACAUUGCAUUUGGCAUCUUCUUAGCUCAUGUCCCACCAGCAGAAAAUGUGGAAACUUCAACGAAAAGAUUAAAAACCUAAGUUUGCGGCCAAAACUGAUUACGGCUUACCUGCUCCAAGUCCCAGAAUAGUGGCUUUUCAGGUUAACUCGUGGGUUAGUGGAUGAAUGAAUAAACCUUGAUAUAUCUCAAAAUGAUGAUGUUUUCAGACAAAAGAAAAUAAUAUCCUCACCACAAAAAUUAAACAAAAAUCUCUUCAAAUUAACUUGGAGAGGUCUUAUCAAGAUUUAACUCAGUUAACCAGAUUGAAAAUUUACCUGUUAGGUUAUCUAAAUUGAAUUGCUUCAACAUCCACUCCAUGUCAAAAGAAAACUAAGCCUAACUUCAGAUUGGCAAGUUACUAGGUCACGCAGGUUGACAAGGUUAAUGUAAUCAUGAUCAAUUCAUCCAGAUUUGAUUGGGUUAAUGUCUACUCCAGAUAAAAAGAAAACUCAGUCCAUGCUAGGCUUCGAGUUAACGAAUCACCUAGUCGACAUCCAAACUUGGCCUCAAUUUAAUAACUAUGAUAACAACCAUUUAGUAAUAGUCUAUCCAACCAUAUAUUAAAAACAUCAAUGGUUGUAACUUAUCAUUAUGCUAUUGACAAUCUGUUUUUGCAACUUUCACUCCCUACUAUACAUUUGAAAUAUUUUAAUUAGGAGAUUUUUCCUGAACUCCUAGUUUUAUGUUAACAUUUAUAAAUCUUGAUUUGACCAUUAGAUCGGGCUUAAAUAUUUUUAGAAAAUUUUAGAGACAGUGUUUUUUUUAUGGUUAAAAUUUCAAAGUCAUCGGUAAUCAAAAAGUUUUUUUAAAUAAGAUUUGGAAAUUACUAUAUAGGAUUUGCUAUAUUUUCCUAGUUGGUUUCAAAUUCCUUUUUCAUAUUUGGUUUAGAAUUCUUCUACUAUUUUUCAGCUUUAUUAGGAUUUUUUUUUCCUAGUAUAUAAGCUUCGUAGAAGAGUUGUAAUAUUGAGUUUAUGUAAAAGAAAAUAUUAAGUAAUAAAAUUUCAAAUUAGAGUUGUGUGAUGGUGACUUUAUUCGAUAGAAUUUUAUGUUGCUUCCUUCCUUGUGUUGUUUUAAUCUUUAAUCUACAAUAGUUAGUAUUAGAACCCAACGAUACCUAGUGUUUUUUUAAUUUGUGUUAUCAAAUCAUCAUGGUUGAAGUUAGUAGAAGACAUGUAACAAAGCUCAAUAUUUACAUGUAAUUAGUUGUUAUGCGUUGUUGGAUAAUCAUGGUCGGAAAAGGUUGCAAAACAAAACAUGCUUGUAUAGGAAUGGAUGAGAGGGUUUUUUUAUUGGAAAAAACAUCCAUGAAUUAGUGUGUUGUUUCCUUCUUCUUCAUAGAAGGUGAUCCUCCUGGAGAACAUGAUCCAAAGGAAGAAUGUGUUCCAACAGAAGGAUGAAUUUCUCUCAAAUCUGUUUUAACUUUGUUAAGAUGUAGGUAAAGGAGAGCUCUUUUAUGUUAGUUGGCUGGUGCAGCUUUUGACAUAGUCUAAUAUAUGUUUUGAAAGAUUUGUAUUAAGUACCUUUUAGAAUUGAAGCAUUAUGUCAAAAUAGUUUGCUUACUUUUUCUUUCUAACUUCAAAUGUGGUAUGCGUUUGAGCAAUGAUGUGUGCUGAUACCACAACUAUUUCCGCUCAUUUGAUUUAUCAUUAAUAUGCUAAUUUCAUUGUCUGGUGAAUAAUUAUUGGCUCUGAGAAAAAAAAGCAUACAACUGGAUUACACUUUGUGACACAGUAGGCAGUAUGAUAUAGGAAAAUUAAUGGUCUAUUACAGAUAAUUUUCCCCUCCAAAACAUGUAUCUUCUGGUCUAUUUCCGCUUCCCGCUUCACCAUCUUGUUGUUUAACAAUUACUUGAACUAUGUUUUUGGGCCUUUUCUUCAGUUGUUUUGUUUUUUUGUCCAUACGGUCGUUCUGAUCUUUGUAUGAAUAGUUUCUGUAAGAGUACAGCUUUUGGGGUUGGAGCUUAAUUAGAAAUAUAGUAAAAAAUAGAAUGGCGGUAAGUUGUGAAGCUUUUCAAUCAUCCUCAUUGUAAGUGAAAAUUAGCUUUACAAGUGCAUCUAAAAUAUUUUUCGUUCUUAUUUUCAUUAAAAUCUUUUUUUGUUUUUCACUAGCUACUUAUAUAUAUCUUCUCUGAGAUGGUUACAAGUGAUCUUGAAAUGCUCUUCUACUUCUAUAUAUGCCGUAUAGUAAAUCCUCUACUACACACUGUUGUUGUUCUACCAUCUGCAGAUCUCUGUUCUAGUAAUAUCUCUGUGUCAUGAAGCAUUCUUGUGAGCAUGUUAUACCUUGAGCGAUGGUAGAACGAAUUUUGGGUACAAUAACUGGGCAAGAAUCAUGCACCAGUACCCAUUAAUUUAUCCCCGUGGCUAUGUAUUUGAGAAACAUGUAGAGUGAAGAGCAUUGUACUUCAAUAGAAUCUUGGGAUCCUAGGUUCGAUUCUAGGCUUUACUCGUUCUGGUAGUUUGAUUCCUUAUUGUGGGAGCUAUAGCUUGACGUUGGGGAUCGUUGGAAUAGAUGAUAUAAUCUUUCCGUUCUUUUUUCCUGAUGGGUUUAUUUAAAGGCCUAUCUAGUUUGAACCUGGAGCCACAACACUGGGCCAGCUCUCUCUCAAGUCUCAUGCCAUUAGCAAAUUUAGCAAUCCAACUUGUAUUUUUAAAAAAAUUUGAAAAUUUUUUUAUUUAAAAUUAAUAUUUUUUUUGUGUUUUUGGAUCAUUUUGAUGCGCUGAUAUCAAAAAUAAUUUUAAAUAAUAAAAAAACAUCAUCUUGAUGCAUUUCUAAACGAAAAGUAUUUUGAACCGCAAUCUCAAACCGGCCUAAUAUAAGAUUUUUUUGAUAAGAUUCUAAGCAACUCACAAAGUUGUUGAGCUCUACACAAUGUAGUUGCAUACAAGGCAAGGCAAAUAAACUGUAACUCAGGAAAAAAUAGAAAAAAACUACAAUUUUAAAGCUCAAGAAAAAAAAAUCUUACAUCGAUUUUGUGUGAGAAAAGAGAAGGAAAGAAAGCAUGAGAUGAGGAAAGGGAAGAAUGAGAGAAGAAAAAAAAAAUUCCAAAGAGAGAGAGGAGAAAAAAUGGGAAAACAGUGGUGGUCAUUAGGCCACGUAUCCUAAAAACAAAUAAGGAGGGAAAAAAAAAAGAGUAGACUAGAAGAUUUGUCAAAGCAGUCACUUAUUCAAAAAAAAAUUAUAGACAUUAUUAAGGUGUUUUUGAGUAACGUUAAAUUUUUUAUAUGAUUUUAAAAUACACAUAGUUUUUUGUUUUAAUAUCAAAAUAAUGCAAAUAGAUCUAGUCAAGUUGGGUCCACGUAUUAAAUACGCGAUCUAGUUUAUAGUCCCAUCUUGGUUUGAUUAAUAUAUUUUUUAAAAUUAUUUUUUAUUUAAUUAUUUAAUAAUAAAGAUAGAUGGUUACAAAAAAAUCAAAUAUUUUUUUUAAAAAUAAAAUAUGAUGUGUUGCAUGAAUAAUAACAGCUAAAAUAAAUAAAAAAGACUAAUUAUAUAAUCUUAUUUCAUUUAAUUUAAAUUUAAAUAAACAUGGAAUAAAGAAAAAAACUGCAAAAAAAGGGUUUUCUGAAGAAAAAAAACUUAAUUUUCAACCUAUUUUUCACCUGGAAACAAUUGAAUAGCAUUCCUAUAACCUUAAGAAAAUAAUUUUCAAAUCAACAAAAAAAACCCUAAAUAGGUUCAAAACACAAAAUAAAAAUAAAAAACCUUCUCUCAACCUCAAUUUUGGCCAUUUGAUCCAAUAAAAUCAAAACGCAUCUCUUUCUCUCUUUUUUUGGAGACUUUCUCUCCUCUCUCGAGUUCUAGAAAUAAAACAUCAAGAAAUUAAAGUUAUAGACCAAAAUGUAAAAACCAAAAAAAGUCAAAAACACACUUCAAUGGUAUUAAAAAGAAAUAGCCUAGGAAUUUUUCCAUUGUCAAUUUUUGCCCUCAGUGUUUUAAUUAUAUUUAAUUAAAAAAAUUAAUUUAAUUUUUUCAAAUUAAUAUCAUAAUUUCUUUUAAAUAUUGUGAGAAACCCUUAUGAAAUUAACCGAGAUAAAUCAUCAAUCCUCGUCUUAAAUAAACUAAAUGUUGAACGAUCUCAUUAAAAAAAAAAUCAAGUGAUCCAAAAAAAUAUAUAUAUUGCUGUGGCCUAUUGCUUUUUUCCUAUAGAGUUUUUUUUUUUUUUUUCACUUCUUGAUUUUAACCAACUUAAAUUUUUUGAAAUAAGGAUAAAAAAAUGUGUCUCAUUAAUUACAUCCCCUAUUUCUUAUUAAUGUGUUCUCUUUUAUUAAAAAAAAAUAUCAGAAGUAUUCUUAGUGACAGAGGACUAUCAAUGCAUGAACAUGUCUAGUUUUAGUUUCACACCGCCAGUACUCAGAAAAUAAAACACCUCCACAUAUAAACACAACACUUGAACUCCUAGAUUCUGUUCUAUUUGGAUUUUUCUUACAAAAUAAGCAGACAAUCUUUUCAAGGAAAAAAGCGCAACACAGAAGAAACAAAGAACAAGGCAACCUGGCAAAUUACAGUAGAUGGAAAUACUAAAGUUGGAAAUAUGGAAAACAGAACAUAGAACGGUAUGGGAUUAAACAUUUGAAGGGAUUGCGCAUAGAAACUAUCGGAUGAGAUAGCAAAAUAUGCAGCACAAAAGAAAUCCAAUUUUGCAGACUCAAUUACCCAAAUCACCUGACAAAGUUCACCAUCACACACUGUAAUACAUUCAUAGUAUCUUAGCUUAAUUAGCAAACCAGAAGCUCAUAUUAGAUAACAAACAAGAGAAUAGAACUAAUCUAUUAACGAAAAAAACAAGAAAAGCAUUACAAGCUCCAUUAUCUGUUAAGCUCUAGUGAUCACCACAUUCAAUUUUGUCUCUGAUAUUUGCCAGCACCUCUUUAGACUCCCUCAACAACUUGAUACUUGUGUUCAGCCUCUCACGCUUGCUAGCAACAGAUGGAGGUUCCUCUAACAUUCUUUCUAUUGCAACACCACCACCAGUACCCAACAACGCAUUAACAAUCUCCUUUUCCAUCUCCUUGUUCACCAAGUUUCGGAUGCUGAGCUGGAGAUGCAGAGCCAUAUUGUCAACCAACCUCAUCAAGACAAUCUUCCAGUAAGCAAUCAGCCUCAUCUUCAAGUCAAAAGCUUGAAGAAGAACAUGUUUAUGACCCCUAAGAUCUCCCACUACAACCUCUCUCGAGCCAUCAAUCGUCACCCUGGAAGAUCCAAAUUUCGUAAUGUUGUCGAUGACUGCUUGCUGCUGUGCGAUGAGCUUGUUCCAUUCCUUCAUAUAUUCUGGAUUACAUGUGUAAUCCGUUUCCUUCUCCAUCUGGAGAAUCUCUGUUACCCAAUCAAUGGACCGGUCUUUCAUUUUAUCUACAAGUUUAUGGGCCGCUCGUCCGAUAAAUAACUGAAGUUGGUGAUAGUUCGCCGAGUGAUGAUUCAAAACUGAAAUGACCACACCUCGAAUGUAAGCCCACACUUUUUCAACAAACCCUAUUUGUAGUUCUGAUAUUUCUUCAACUUUUUGCUGCAGGAUGGCAAGGAUGGCAGCGUGAGGAAGGAAAUUUGGCAAUUCAAUCCCUUUUGUUUCCUCCAAAACCUCAAUCUCAUUUAUCAUAAAAUUCUUUGUAUGGUCAGAACACUUAUGAAGUUCUGUUGAGAAUUGAUUGAGCAUUUCAACCAAUCUAGCAGUGCAGUGCAUAUCUUUUUCAUGUCGGUAUUCAUCAAUUUCCCCUCUUAAAAGGAUUUUCCUCAAAGAGUCCUUGGAAGAUCCAAUAAUGCCCAUGAAAGCUGCCAUGACCUCAGCAACUGACAACAACCUCCUAGGUAUCCUAUUCAGCUCUGAAAUACUCGCACUCAACUUCUCAUCAAUCUUUCUGACGAUAUCAGGCAAACACUUGGCAAUAAUAUUAGCCUGAAUUUGCACCAGUUUUUGAGCCAAAACUUGAAUACCCACUGUAGAUUUAUCAAUCUUGGACAAAAGUUGAUGUGUAGCAAACAGUGCAGCUUCUUCCUUCCUUGCAUCCUCAUAAGACUCAUUACCAAUACGGUUUCUAACACACACAUAACCAAGGCCUAUAUUCACAUCAUUUCUAGUGACCUUCUCAAGUAACCCUUCAGGUGAUUUAUCAACCUUUGUAACCACAGCAAGAGUCCUCUGACCGUUCUUGUCGACUUUCUGUGACAUCCUUAUGGAUUCACAUGUGGAAAAAUCAACGCUCGCAGACAAAACAUUAAGGAUAACACUCUCAUCAGGACUAAUAUACUUCAUUAUAAUGUAUGCUAUCUGCUCAUAGAUAUUUUCAGGUUGACCAUGAACAGGAACUCUUGUUAUUCCAGGGAGAUCAACAAGAGUAAGAUCAGGAACACCAUUCUUUUUCACUACAAGAGUUAAUUCAGUGUUAGAUAUGCCCUUACCGUUGCCUGCUAUCUCAUCAGUGACAAGAUUGAUAGCAUCAGCAACGUGGGCUUCAUCAGUAGGCACUGUUUUGCCAUUGAACUGCAAGAAAAUCUCUGGUACAAGAGAUGGGUGAUGUUUAAGCCUCACAAUGAGAGGCACUCUAGUGCAAAUGCCAUCGCCACGAGGAAGAUUGAUACAAGCCAAUGAUUCAAGAACACUGGAUUUGCCUGAAGAUUGAUCGCCAACAACAACAAUGGUUGGAAGUUGUAUGCCUUCUUUCAUUACCUGGAGUUGCCUCAGCCUGUCCACUGCAUCAAGGAGAGGUGUGAUACGGUCGUUGUAAUACGAAACAAUUGGUACAUGAUCAUGAAAAAUAGCCUCAUGUUCAACAUGAAGUUCUACUUCUGUAUUUACUGAUGCAUCUUCAUAUUUUUCAACUCCUUUCCUUUUUGAAGAAGGCUUGCCUCCACUCAUUUUCUCUAGAAAAUAUCAGACAGGGAUAGAAGAAGAGAGAGAUAUUUUUUAUAUGGAAAGAGUUCGAAGAUUGGUAUGGUCUUGGAAAGAAAAGGAUGGAACAGAAGAUAUAUUUUAUAGUAGAGGAGGUUUUCAUUUAACUGAAAAAUUAAGAUAAUUGCAAAAUUACGAUAUAGAGAUUUUCAAUAUAGCUCUCAAAUUAAUAUUUUUAUUAAUUAGGUCCCUAAAGGAGAAGCAUUAUCCAUUCUUCCAUUAGUGGAAACACUUACUUCGUUUGAUUAAUGAAAAACGUCAGAUUUCCCUCAAAAUCGCAUCCUUUUAUUGCAUUAAUUAUGCAUGCAAUCUAAACAUGGAAACUCGUAAGAACGAAGGAUUUCAAUCGAGGAUUAAUGUCAAAUACUUUGAAGACCAAAUUCAAAAGCUAUAUAGUUUAGACACUUAAUUAGUUGAGAAUUGGUUCGUAGGUGAGAAGUUAAUUUGAGCUUUGCUCUUAAGAUAAUUAUCAAGCCUCGGAAUUAAUGUUAUGGUCUUUUACAUGAAUAAUUUCUGUCCAUUUCUAAAUAUUAUUUUCAUUGCUGAGAAAAAUAGUACAUAAGGUGAAAUCGAAUAGAAUAACCUCCAACAAAAGAAAAGUACAAAGAAAAGACCAAAAAAAUAACCCCCAACAAAAGAAAAGUAUAAAAAAAAUACCAAAAAAAUUACCUCCAUCAAAAGAAAAGUAUAUAGAAUAACCUCCAACAAAAGAAAAGUAUAUAUAAAAAAAAGGACUAAAUCGAAUAACCUCAACAUCGAGUAUUUUUGGAUUAAUUUAUACUAAAUCUUUUAUCUAGAUAAUCUUAAUUAUAAGAGCACAUCUCUCGUAUUAGUAUGGUGAAUUCAAAGGAAUUAAUUUAUUUAAGUCUCUUAUAUACUAUCUUCUAAGUUCAAAUUAAAAGAACCAUGAAAAUGAAUUCAUAUCUCAUUAACUAUAAGAAUUACCCUUAAGAUAGAAAUAUUUAAAAGAGCUAAAAAAAAUCAAUUAAGUGAACUUUAGACCAAAUUAAUUUGAACUUAAAAAUCAAAUUACUCGAAUAGUAUUAAAUUAAGAAAAAGAAGAUUGAUAAAAACUUAAGAUAGAUAUAUUUGUUUGGGGAAAAAUAAAAAUUGCUAGUAAUAUAUGUUUACUAUGUUUGUUCAUCCUUGGGAAUUCAUAAAGAGUUUAAAGAAAUUUGCAAUUUUCAAAAUAUCUAAAUUUAAAAUAUUAAUAUUUGCUUUUUAUUUAAAAAGUAUAUACAUAAAAAUACAUGUUACUAGUAUUGAAAAAUGAAAUAUUGAAAUAGAUCCAAAUAAGGAAUUAAAUUUUUGGUAUAGAAAACUAACUUUUUGAUUUAAAAAAUAACAUAAAAAGUUAACAUUAAAGAUGCAUGCAUGAAAUCAUAGAACUAUAAUAUCUAUUAGUAAAAAAAUUAAGGGUAUAUAUGUCCAAUCAAUAUUAAUGUUAGUAUUAUAUGGUCCUGAAAAAUUACUCCCAUUCCCAAGCCCUUGGAUUGUAAUUCCCAUCAUUUUAGAAUGUGUUUCCAAGGAAAUGUCUUUAUAAAUAAAGUAAUACUCCAUUUAUUUAAAAAAAAAAGUCAUAAAAAAGAAAAUUUUAAACUUUUAGUUCAAAUGCAAUAAUUUCUAAUCUAGAGAACAAGAAAACUAGUUUUAAAAAUUUUAGUAGGUUUGAAAAAUAAUUUGAUGAGGUUCUUCAUAUUUUUUUGCAAGUUUUUCAAACAAAGAAAAUUAAAAUAAUAAAUAAUAAAAUAUUUUAAUCUUAUAUACAAACACUUUUUAGGGAUGUGAAAUUUUAAUUUUUAAUAAAAAAAAGUCAUAUUUAGUUAUCAAUAUUUUUUUAUGCACAAAUACUUUUUAUCAAAGUAAAAUAUUACUUUGUAGAGGAAGGUUCCACUAAAUAGUAAAUCUAGAGGAGCAUGUCAUAUAUUCUAAAAGAUGUAAAGUUGAUCUAUUAGAUUUGUCUAAGGGGCAGGUAGUAUAAUUAAAGUUUUAAAAAAUAUAACAACACAAGAAAAUAUUUAUCAGAAACUAAAUAAUACAACACAUAUGAAUGAGAAUGACCAAAAUGACGAUACCAAAAUCUAGGUAAUAGAAAAAAAGAGUAGAAAAGACAUGAUAAUUAACUAUGCUAAAAGAAUGAUAGCCUUGAAAGUACAAUUCUUAACAAGAUAAAAAUGAUCAUAAAAUUCAAAAAAUAUAUUAUUAUUAUUGAUAGCAAAUUGACGUAUAGAAAGCAAGGAUUUUUCUUAGUUUCACUUGCAACUAUAUUAAGAUAUGAUUUUUGUUUUUGUGUUUUUUUUAUUAUAUUUGUUUUUUAUUUUAUUUUUAAUUGUUUUUGUUCCUAAUAAUUGUAUGAAUGUUGUUGUAGGAUUUUUUUUUCAUAUGAGAUCAAUUUUUAGUUGAUUUAUUUAUUCGAUUUUUAAUUUUUUUUCAUACGAAUUUUUGUAGUUGAAUUUAUUUUUUCAUGUUAUUUAUUUGUUGCAAAUUUUUUUGAGUUUAUUUUCUUCUUCUUUUUUCCAAAUAUUUUGAGUAUUAUAGAGUGUUGAUUUAUAUUAAUUUAAUUAUUUUAUAGUUUUGUAAAAUAGAUUUUUUUUAAAAUAUUUAUAAAUAAUUAACGACUGAAUUACAUACGGUAUUUUGUCGUGAGAAAUACCGACGGAAUGAAAUGGAGAUAAUUUUUGUUUUGCGCACUUUUUCCGUCGGUAAAUCCAUCGAAAAUAAUAUUUUUUAUUACCAACGUACUUACCGAUAGACAAAAAAUUACCGAUGAAAGAGUCAUCGAUGGAGCAUUUUUUAGUCAGUGAUUUUGUUGGUAAAUUAAUUACCAACAGAAUAAUAGUACAAAUAUCAACGAAAAAAUCCAUUGGUAAAUGUAAAGAUUGUGGUAGUGUAAUAAAUAACAAUCGAGGUCUAAAAUUAUGUUGUAUAAUGUAGCUUCGAUCAACAUCUUAAAUGACUUCUUUAAGAAAACCUUGAAUGCCUUCAUGCGAAACUUCCACUAAAGGAAAAAUCUAGGUGAUAGAAAAAAAUGACGAUACCAAAAUCUAGGUGAUAGAAAAAAAAAAAAAAAAGUAGAAAAGGCAUGAUACUUGGGUAGGGUAAAUAGAGAAUGAAAUAUGUAAAAUCUAUCUUUAACUAUGCUGAAAAGAAUGUACAAUUCUUAACAAGAUAAAAUUAAAUGAUCAUAGAAUUCAAAAAAUAUAUUAUUAUUAUUGAUAGCAAAUUGACGUAUAGAAAGCAAGGAUUUUUUUUAUAUAUUUUUUUAUAUCAAGAACAUGUAAGAUAGAAAAUAAUCAUAAGGUAUAAGUAAGUGUGGGAACAUUAAGGAGACCAUUACCAUCCUCUACAUCAAGGUGAUCUAAAACAUUAAUUAUAUGACUCUAUAUGUGAUAGGCUAGUAACUUAUUACAUGAACAUCAUAUUUUGCAAAACAAGAUAUGGGCCACAUCACUAUUAUACCUUAAGCUACUUCCACACUAUACGCAACACCCAGGCAGAUGCUGAAAGGAAGGUCGAUCUUCAAGGCUGGUGAAAUUCAUGCUUUCAUCACUGAUCGAAGCUAGGAAGAGUUGGCUAAGGUUUUUGGAGGGUAUUGAUCUGUGCAGUUUUUCCAGACAUUCGUGUCCUCCAAGUCCUUCAUAACUUUCCACACACAAUUGUUGCACUUAAAACCUGCCCCAAGGCUGAUCAUUAGUAUUUUAUCACCCUUCUUGAGCCUUUUCUUGGCCUCCAUGUAACCUAAAACAUA